This 60374-nucleotide long non-coding RNA is filed under the name Gossypium raimondii (Peruvian cotton). Its description in RNAcentral is "long non-coding RNA (GRAI_LNC005115)". The record is from RNAcentral. Lineage: Eukaryota; Viridiplantae; Streptophyta; Magnoliopsida; Malvales; Malvaceae.
GUUUUUUUUUUGUUCUUUAAGGUGAAUCGUCCUCAAGUGUAAUUUUAAACAGAUCUCUACAAGUGUAAUUUCGAAUGGUGGUUUAUCACUUAUUGCUCAACUUUACACCUCUCUGUCCUCCAAGGGUGAACCAUCCUUAAGUAUAAUUCUAAAUGGUUGCCACGAGUGCAACCUUGGACAAUUGACCAUUACUUAUUGCUCGACUUUAUGGCUCUUUGCCCUCCAAGGGUGAACCGUCCUCAAGCGUAAUCUUGAACAAUUGCCUACAAGUGUAAUUCCAGACGAUGGUUCAUUACUUAUUGCUGAACUUUGCGGCUUUUCACCCUCUAAGGGUGAACCGUCCUCAAGCAUUUUUCCGAACGAUUGCCCACAAGCAUAAUCUCAAACAACAACUCAUUAUUUGUUGCUCAAUUUUACAACUCUCACACCCCCUAAAGGAUUACUCCCCUACAACUCCUAAAAGAUACAACUCUCACACCAUCCUAAGGGUUUACUCUCCUAAAGGUACAACUCUUAGAGGUCCAGCUUUUACACCCUCUUAAGGAUUCACUCUCCUAGAAGUAUGACUCCUAAAGGUAUAACUCUCACACCCUCCUAAGGGAUCACUCUCAUAGGAUAUAGUACCAUAGUGUUCUUACCCACUAAGACUCUUUAAGGGCAUUAGUUCAAACCCCACUAGGGUCAAAAUGCUUAAACAUUUUCUUGGUGGACUAGGCACUCCUACUAAACUUUGUGAACCCGCCGAGGGCUCUCCGCGGAGUUGAAAGACAACCCCAAAGCUAAAAUUGAGUAUAAACAUCUUAAAAACAAUACUUUCUUUGACGGUCGGAGACCAAUCCAAAAAAGGACCUCCCCUCAAUAAAACUCAAAAUGAAAAAUUCUAUAAAUAGAGAUAAAUGUUAUUCUAUUUUUAAUGCUCGAAGUUGGCUAAUGAGUUAUGACCGAAGAAAAUGUUAUAUAGAUCCUGUUAAUACUAUAAUUUUUUUUUUGAAUUAUGACAAAUUUCAUCUAACUUUUUUUUGUGUGCAUGUUUACUUGGUUUAGAGCUUUGUUUAACGUACCAUGGUUACGAUGCAUCAAGUAGGACCAUAUAUUUAACAAGUGAAAAUGGUUUUUUAAGUGUGUUAUAUUUCAAGUUUUAAAAUUAUUUAAUACCAAGAUCAGAAGCGUAGUUAGGGGAUUGAUAAGGGCUUUAAAAUAGAAAUUUUUUCUUUUAGACCUUUUAAAAUUUUUAAAGAUUUAAAUUAGUAAAAAGUAAAUUUAUAUUUUUGCCCCCUUAAAAUAAUAAAAAUUUAAUUUACUUCUUUAAAAAUUAUAAAGAUAUAAACUAUUAAAAUAAUAAAAUCACAUUUUUAUUAUCGUAAAAAUUAUAAUUUAAUUUCGAGAUAUUUCAAGUGACUAAACUUCAUAUAAUAGUUAUAUACAAACAUCGAUGUUUACCAUAAGUUGUUGGUUUAAAAUUAAUUAUUCUCUCUUUGGCUCGUCAAUAGUUGGGUGGAAAAUGAAAACAAUCCGCACUCAAAGAGAAAAAAAACCAUUUAUUAUUCAUUACAUCAUUAUGCAGAGUAAGGAAGAAAUAGUAGCAUAUUCAGUUAGACCUGUCCAUGGGUCGGGCGGCCCGGCCCGACGGUCCGCCCGAAAUAUGGGAGAGUUUGGGUAAAAAUAUAGGCCCGAAAUAUGGGAUUGGGCAAAAUUUUAGGCCCGUUUUAAAAAUGGGCCGGGCCUCGUGCAAGAUUUUUUGGCCCGGGCCCGGCCCGGCCCGAAAAAUAUCAAAUAUAUAUUUUUUAUUUUUAAAAUGUAAUAGUUUUUUAUUUUAAGUUUAUUUACUUUCAUUUCCUUGACUAGUGUUACAAAAUAAUAAUAAUAAAACAUCAAGUUUGUUUUACUAAUCAAAUGUUAGAUUUUGUUACAACAAUUAAUACAAUUAAUACAAUUAAUAAUUUGAUAAAUUUACUAAUUAAAUGUUAGAUUUUAUUACAACAAUUAAUACAAUUAAUACAAUUAAUAAUUUGAUAAAUUUACUAAUCAAAUGUUAGAUUUUAUUACAACAAUUAAUACAAUUAACAAUUAAUAAUUUGAUAAUUUUACUAACAAUUAGUUUUAAUUUUAUUAAAAAAAUCAUUUUAAUUUUAAUUAAAAAUGGGCCGGGCCAAGCCGGGCUCGGGCCCCAUAUUUUUUCUUCGGGCCGGGCCUGGGCAAAAUCUCAUGCCCACAUUUCGGGCCGGGCUCGGGCCUAGCAAACGGGCUGAAAUUUUUUGUGAGCCCGGCCCGACCCAUGGACAGAUCUAUAUUCAGUACAUCAUUAUCCUAGAUUUACGUUUUUAGACUCUCCCUAAGCUUGAAAAUAUAUGUCUUAUAUUUUAUGAGAUUCAUUAAUAUUUUAUGAUUUCUUUUUAAAAUUUUACUAUCUCAAUUCAAAGAAGGUUUGUCAUAUCAAUUUUUCCGACAAAAUCUUUAAUUAUAAAAUACAUUAAAUUAAGUUUAUCUCGUUUGUCUUAUCAAUUUUUUUGAAAAUAAAAGCUCAAUGUACAAUUUGAAAUAAAAAAAAAUAUCUAAAAGAUCAUACAUCGUGUCACGUUAGGUAGUUCCAUCUUUAAUGACAAUUAACAAUUCGAUGAUUGGAAUAUAACAAAUUAAUAAUAAUAUUUUUUAUAUUAUAAUUUUCGUUAAUAUCAAAACAUAAUUUAAACAAUUCUCCAUUUAUUAUUGAGUCAAAUCAUGAUUUCAAAAUAAAACAAUCAGCAUCACAUAUUUUUCAAACCAAGUUUUAAGGUUGGAAUUUCAACCCGACAAAAUUUAUAACUUUUAUCUUUUACAAAGUAUUUUUGGCACGUCCACUUUGAUACCUGUAGUUUUUUGUUUUGUUCAUUUUGGCACUUUAACUUGACAAUUAGGGUUAUUUUGAUUCAUGAACUUAAAAAUUUUAAAAGUCUAAUAAUGUAACACUCUGAGAUUGUGCCACAUUAUCACUUGAAAAAAGAAGUUUAGAUGAUGAUGUGGUAUGAUCUCAGAGUGUCAUAUUUAAUGUUUUAAUAAUCGAAUCGAUCGUUGAACAAGUUAAAUCACCAAUUCUCGAUACCAAUUCAAUUGGUUCAACUGCUGGAUCAACAAUAAUUAAAAAUGAAUUAAAAUCUAAAAAAAAUAAAACUUUUUUUACUUGCCUUUUUAAAUUUUUAUGAAUUUUUAAUUAUUUAUUUAAUUAUUGUUGGUCCGAUAAUCAAAUUGGUUGAAUUGAGAAGAGAUGGUCUAACUUGUUCAACCAUAAGUUCGAUGAUUAAAACAUUGAAUAUGACACUGAAAUUGUUCCACAUCAUCAUCUAAAAUUUUUUUAAUUUUCAAACUCAAAAUGCUAUAUCAUCAAACUUUUAGAUUUUUUAAGCUUAAGAAUAAAAAUGGAUCUAAAGUGAACAAAAAAAAUACAAGUAGUAAAAUAAACUAGUUGUCAAAUUCAAAGAUCAAUAUGGAUAUACUUGUCAAGUUACAUUAUUAUUAUUAUUAUUUUUACUAUGGAUAAAUCAGAGACCAAAAGUUGUAUUAUCACAACUUUUCAAAAAGUAAUUUCGCCCUAAUUUUUAAAAACAUUUUUCAAUCUCAUGCUAAAUUAAUUUUAGUUUACCCUAAAAAAUAUUCAACAGAUUCGAAGGUCUUGGUUGCUUGAAAGACUCCUCAGAAAUGGCCACCAAGCUACCUCUGAUUGAAUCCCCCUUGCAUCCAAAAUCAACAGAGUAAGUAAAAGGAACACUGGGAUUAUUAAACCCAAUUAUUUGCCCCACCCAAAUUCUGGAUCUCCUGACCUUCCCUUGCUUCUCAGAACCAGGCUUCACUGCUCUGUCAUCUGCCACAACCUGCUGCUUAUCAAGACUUGAAGAGUCAUCAGACACUGCAGUGAGCAGGCUGUUGGCUAGUUGAAUCCCCUAACUCCAAUUAGCCUGAGCCGGUGCUUCACCACAGUGGUGGUUGCUGUCACCCUCUCCAAUCGGUCGAGACUGCCCCCAAGUUUUAAACACCAAUCCAACGACAAAACACCCCAAAUCUACAGAACCAAAAAUAAAAAUAAAAAUAAAAACCUCAUCGAUCAACACAAUUAGAACAACAACCAGCAAUGAACAUCAAAACCAAAUUAAAGAUACACAAUGAAACAAAGAGAAAUUCUCAGCAGCCUUACCUUCGUUCGUUCGAUUUCAGAUCUUCGUCGGUCUUUCUCUGUUCGUUUAAUCACUGGAUUUUGUUUUCGACCUCUAUGUUUAACGUACACGUGAACGGUGGAGAGUGGCCUCCGGUCAAACGAACGGAGAGAUGCGUGUGGGUGGGUGCAUCCAAAGAGCCGUAAUCAGGAAGUAAUUCAUAGUGGGGUAGGGGAGUAUUCCACUCACGAUCUACUCCUUCGCGUGUUUAGCACCAACCAGAUGGAGCUGAGGAGAGUGAAUUGGACGACAAGUUGCGUCAUAAAGUUAGAUUAUAUAUACCUGGAACUUUGUAACUUAUUUGAUAAAUGAAAAUUCACAUCCGCCAGUUUUAAUCCAAUUAAUAUGUAUUAUCAUCGAUAUAUAAAUUUAACCACACUGAAAUGUAUUAUUCAUUCAUUUAAAUAUAUUGAGAAUAAGUAUACUAUAAUUUAAUAAUUGAAUGUAAUAAAAGAGGCUAUUUGCAAAAUCACAAAGCAACUUACCAAGAACAUUAACCAUAAAUUUUACGGACUUCCUAUCUUGAUAUACAGUGAAUUUAAUUUUUUAAAUGGAUUAAUAUAUAUGUUAAAUCAUAAAAAUAAAAAAGUAAAAAAUCUCUCUUUGGUUCCCUUAAUUUUGAUAUUAAGUAAAUUGGUCUCUUUCAAAAAAAUUAAAGCAACUUGAUCCUUGUCAGUUUCAAAAGUAAGCAACCAAUGUCAAUUAAUUAUUGUUUAUGUUUUUUUUUUGUCAAUUGUACAUAUUUUUAUCGAUAUAAUAACAAAUUUAAUUUUCAAAGUCUAUACAUUUUGUCAAUUUGGCCUUGAUUUAAUAAACUUGACCUGCGUCAUUCACACAUUUGUCAACUUGGUCCUGAUUUAUCAAAUUUACACAUUCUGCCAAUAUUUACAUAAGAUAUGUAAAUAUCAAAGGUUAAAUUUAUUAUUAUACCAAUCAAAAUUAAGUACAAAUAACAAAAAAAAUAUUAAUGUCUUAAUUAAUUGUCUUUAUUUGUUCACUUUUGAAAUAGAUAGGGUUUAAAUUGCUCUAAAUUUUUUUGAAAGGAACUAAUUUUUUGAAUUUUAAAAAAAAGUUAUUUUUAGCAAAAAAAAAUAAUCGAGAUUUAAAAUUGAGUAGAAAAAUAAGCAUCACUAGAUGUAUAUAUAUUAAUUUAAUCUCUCCACAUAAAAUAAAAAACAAUUUAAUCCCUCACUUUAGGAAAAAAAGGUUCAAACCCUUAUAAUAAUAAAAAUCAUUAAUGAAAUUUUGACUUGAUCAGGACCAACUCGAAAGUUUUAAAUUCGACCUGAGCUGGAUUUAAUUCGAAAAAAUUACUAGGAGAGCUAAAUAAUUAUGUGUCCAUUUAUUUUUACAAUUUUUAAAUAAAAUUUAAACAACACUUAUUAUCAUUUAAUCUGAAUUUUUUCUUAUAAUAAUCACGAGAGAAAUGAAGUUAGAUGAGUUUCCAUUGUUAAUAAAUGAAGCAAAUCUGACGGAAGAGAAGAUAGUCAAGAUUGAGGCUGUUUAUCUUCAUCUCCUACCUUCCCCCACUUUCUUAUGAUGGAAUGCAUUAUGCAUAUGCCAUUCAACAUAUAGAUUGUGGACUACCAUAUAUUAGUUAUUUUUAAAAUGGGCUUUAAAAAUGGUAUCAACAAGACUCCUACCAAAAACACCAACUACUAAAAUAAAAACGGUUGGGUUCAUAUUGUGAGAAAAAUCACAAUGUUAAAAUAAAUUAAUAUUAAAAUAAGAGUUAUAUAAUAUUUAAAUAAUAACAACAAAAUAGUAGUAAUAUAAUAGCAAAAAGUAGCCGGGUUUUUUUUCAACUUCAGGCCGAGUUGCUGGGCCAAAAAAUAUUACUUGAGGCUUGACUUAUUUUGAAAAUGGGUCUCUUUUUUUGCCCAAACUCAUUUCUCGAGCCUAUAUUUUUGUCCAAAUCUAUCCACUUUUCGAACGGGCAACCAGGUCUAAGUGAAAUGGAGGUAGAGAUAUUGUUAAAUCCAUCACUGCUUCAUAAUUUCCAUGCUUUACUCUACCACUUACCUCGUUCCACUAUGAAUAUAUAAUUUUGAAAAUCAUUACUAUUUCCGUGGACAUUGGAUGCAUCCAUCUCCAUCUCCACCUCUCUCUGCUUUGCUUUGAUUUAAUUUUUGCUACUUGUCUUUAAUAUUUUUAAUCUUUUUAAAAUUAAGUAAAUGUUUAAACAUAAUUCUUCAUUUUUACCCUUUUAGUAGUUUAUCUAUACAAGAAUAAAAUGAUAAUUUCAUAUAAUAAAGCUGGGAGGGGUAAGCAAUUGCCAUAAUCAAUUCAUACCUAUUAUUUAAAGGAAAAAUUCAUCCCACAUUGCUUUCACUUUUCAAAAAAAAAAAUAUUUACUCUAUUCGAAAGAAUCGAUUUGAAAUCUAUCAAAUGGUUUGGGUUUUAUUUUUUGGGAUUUCUGAUUGCUCAUAUCAAUAAUGUUAUCUUUAAUAUUUUAACUUAAUUUCUCUCUAGACGUGUAAUAUAUUUUACCAUUAUAACUAAUAUUUAUGGGUAAAAUCUUGUAAUCUGUUUUAAGUGUUAGAUUGGCUUAGGCUUGAAUGGCGACUAAAUUCCCAAAAAUUCCUUCCUAGCUAUUUGUAUUUAUCGCAAUUAACGGUAAUAUAUUCAACAUCGGUUGUUGUUUAAAAAUAUAACGUGACAAAGACAAACCCGUAUAUGCAAUUACAAAUUGAAGCGUAUAUGUGGUAAUAUUUACGGAAGAACAAACGAACAAAAAGGAUACAGCCAUACAGGUCAUCGCCAUUUAUUUAUACCUACCAUUCUUGUGCGUCCUUGUUCUUAAAACUCGACCUACAACAAUCAGUCAUGGUGACUUGUGCUUUCACGUUCGAACACUAGGAACAUACACCAUCUUCCCUUCUUCAACUGCCUUUCAACUUGUAUUUAAUUAUUUCUUUCUCUUUCUAAUGUUCAGAUCUCUCUGUAUUCCUUAACGCUUAAGGUUCUUGUUUCAUUUUCAUUCACUAACGAACAUGAAGAGGACUUUCAUGCACGAAAACCCAAGGGACAUAUAGAAAGAAAGCGUUGGUGGUUGUUUAAUACGUUAUUGCCGAAACAAAAGCCUAGGGACAGAUUCUUCAACAAAUCAAUUACCAAAUGGAAGAAUAUUCAAAAGGAACCCUAGAGGUAGAGGACUCCCAGAAUGUACAAGUGUAUGAAGAAGAAAACAAGGAAGAAUUUGGUGUAGUUAAUGGUGGGGAAGAUGAUUCCAAUUCAAGUAGUAGCAGUUCGGACAAGGAGGAUAAUUCAGAGGAGAAACUGGUUUCUGAGUCAGUUGGGGUUUCUUUGACGGAAGAUACCGAGCCAUCAGUUGAGAAAUUGGGAGACUCUGAUGUUGCUGAAUUGGAUGAUAAAGAAACAGAAGAGAAUGUUUCACCAUCUUUAGAGUUAGACCACACUAAUGCUAAAGAAACAGAGGAGUUGUCUGCUGCUGAGACCACUGUAGUGUCCGAACUCUCAACAGAUGUGGAAUCAAAGGAAACGGGACAGGAUGAGACUAAUGACUCCAGGGUUGGUGGAGCUGUUGUUGCAGACCAAGGAAUCACGGACGAUAAGGGUGGGAAUCCAUCAGGUUCCCCUGAAUUGUCUUCUAACCAAAAUGCUGAAGAUUCAUUGGAAGCAGCAAAUGUUCCUCCCGAUGAGACCAGAGAUGCUGGUGAAGUUGAAGACAAGCCUGUCAUGCAUGAAAGCAUAGAAAAUCAGGUCAAUAGCUUAACUUUAGCUAGUAUUAGAAAGAAUUAUGUUUAUAUUUCCAGCCCUGAAUUUGCAUUAGCUGAAAGCUGCUUUCAUUUUGGACAGACUAUUCUAUCUGUGGGUAAUCGUUCGCUGCAGCCAACUUCUUGGAAGAGUUGCUGUGGACUUUUUGAAGUUCUAAGGCGCUCUGACAGAUAAAUUCAAGGUGAGGAAACCUGUCAUCGUAAACCUUAUUUUCUUACCAUCCAUGGAAAUUUGCUCAUCCUUCACUUGCCCUAUAGUUAGUCCUAGUUCUAAAACUAAACUAGUAUGCUACUAGACUCCUUGGCAUUCGACACAAUUGUAGCAAUCAAGGCUCCCUAUAGUGUCUAGAUUUGAUUGUAAGCUUCAAUGAUGAACCUUGUAUAUAUAUAUAUAUAUAUAGCAGUUCCAUAGAGAGAAUGUUAGGACAUUGGAUCACACUAGUGGUUCAUCAUACAAGUAGGAGAUUGGAUCUCUAUGUUCACUAUUAGAUUCGACUUAAAAACCCCAAAUUCUUCUUUGUAAUUGUUAAGUUAAGAGUUGGAACAGUUCUCAAAGCUAAUCAAGAUCCUUUAUUGUACCUUUAAUCUAUAAUUAAUACUGAUAAAUCUCAAUUCAAAAUUUUAACUCAAGAUCGAGCAUAAAUAGUUGAUCUUCUGCUGCUUCUUUUUUUAUUUGCAGUUUGGGGAAAAAAACUUAAGCAGAAUCUCAAGUUCUUGGUGGAGUUUAUAGGUUGUUAUGAUGUGGUUUAUUUUAAUUUUUUUUCCAGCAUUUUCUGCAAAAAUAAUGGGUGAGAAGAUAAGUGGAGUUGGUUGGGGAAUGAAAUUAGGGUUUUCUUCGUUGGGAUGUGCGAUUGCCAUACGUGGAGUGUUUGAAUUUGUAUACAGUAAUAUAUGUGAUGAUACUGUGAUUUCAAUUUCAUUUCUUGGGUUUUGCCUUUUAGAAUGGUUUAAGAUUAAAAACACACUUUGUAGUAACAGUUUCAAUUAUGACUUGAUGUUGUCUUAAAAUUUUGUUAUAAAUUGUUUACAAAGCUUGUCUGAAAACAGUAAAUACCAAGCACAUCUCUCAAUGCAGAGACACACACAUUUCCAAAAUGGAAUGAACUAAAAUAUCCCAACACUUUGAUUUAAACUCAACACGCAAACAGGUGUCCAUAAUCUCAUUUGAAAUCCAAUGUGUUAGCACAUCUCAAGUGUAAUUUAAAUUGGAAUUGUGUGGUAAUUCAUAAAAAAAAAUAAUUAUAAUCUCAUUUAGUUUAAUAUUAAAAAUUAUUGUUAAAAUUAUAAUAAUUAAAUGGACGUGAAUUAUCUAAAGGAUUUUGUUUAUAAAAAAUUUAAAAAAAUUAUAAAGCACCAAAGAUGAAGCACUUUCCCUCCCACGCAUGAUGAAAGCACAACUUACCAGUAAAAAAGAAAUAAUGAAUUACCGAAACUAGUCUUUAUCUCCAUUCUUCUUCAAUCAUCCAUUAACAUAUUUCUCUGCAUUUAGUAAUAAUUUCUAAUUCUGAUUUUUCUCCACAUUAUAUAUUGAACUAUUCAAAUAGUUAAAAAGGGUAGUAAACCAUAAUCAAGAAAAAACAAAACAAAAUGAAAAAUCAAAGUGGAUGGGAAAUGGGAAUAUAAUGUGGGAUGAUGCUCUCCUUCAUCAACUAGCUAGGCAAAAGAACCAAAAAAAAAAAAAAUUACAGUUGAGAGAAACAACCAGUGUGCUUGAAUUGAUCAACCUCCAAGCUUCCUUUUCUGUUUAUCCAUGCCUUCAAUAAAGCUUGCAAGAACUCUCAUGGCCCUAAUUUGACCCUGCAAAGCUAAUAUAUACCCAGCAGUUUCUUCAAACAGCUUAUCCACCCCUAAUGCCUCACCUCCUGGAACUAUCCUUUGCAAUGCCACAAUCUUUCUUUUUACUUCUAUCCUCUCAUCAUCAUCAUUGUAUUCUUCUUCUUCUUCUUCUUCUUCUUCUUCUUCUUCUUCUCUCAAAGAAUCCUUGUUUUGAGACUUCAAGUAGUCUGUCCUUUUCCUGGUGGUGCCCCGGGUUGUUUGGAAAGUGGGAAAAGCUUCAUGCAAUGCACUUCCCAUCAAAGGGUUUUGCUGGGUUUUGCUGUAAAAAGUGGGUGUAUUUGUCUGGUUUACCGCAUUGAUCUCCAUUAACAGAGGGGGCAAAGCAAAGCAAAAGGAAAGGAGCUGAGUUUUGGGUGUGCAUGAGAAGAGAGGGGGGGCGUUAUAUUCAGAGAUUUUGCCAAUGCCAGCCAAGGCAAUUGAGGCCCCACGGGGUUAUUGGGGUUCCCCAAGCGUACGGCGUUUUUCUUUUUCUUUUUCUUUUUCAUAUGAGCUGAGAGGUGAAAUUCACGCUCUGUACAAAAGCGCGUGAUUGGAUUUGUCGUGUAGUGCUUUGCAUGUGCCAUAGUGAAGGGGUUAAGAGCAGGCAAAAUGUACAACAGGGCACAUGCAGCGAGUGGAAAGCUGUCUGGAAAUAUAAAAGAAAACAUUGACGGGAAUCCCCAAACGCAGUCGGAAGCGAGUGACGAUCAAACGGAUUGUCUGGGAUCACCUGCGGAUAGGUCCAUAGAAAAGGAAAAAAAAUGAAAAAAAGGGGACCCACGGAAAGCACAUGUGAUCACAUGGUUUUCUUGAACCAAACACCGCCCAUGUGCCUCCCCCAUCUUUCCUUACCUCUCCUCUCUCCUAUGAUCAAUAUCACUACCACUCGCAUGAAUGCCACGUGUCUCUUUCUUAGUUGGGACCCACCUCCUAUUCCCCUAAAAGAUCUACUCAAAAUCUACUCUCUUUUUUUUUUUUUAAUUUUGAUUUUCUGUUUGUUUUUUAGUAAUUCUUUUUGCGGAUUUUGGAAUUAUUUUUUUAUCAGAAUUAAACUAUUGGUCUUUUUAGGUGAGUUUGGAUAGGCGGUACGUUUACCUGCGGUUAAUGUGAAAAUAGCAGUGGCGGUGAGAUUAGAUACUGUAGCGAUACUAUAGUGUGAGACAAAAAGUAAACUAAACGUACCGCACCGCACCCAAUCGCUCAUCCAAACCCACCCUUUAUGUACAAACAUAUAGUGCGCCUAGAUUUCUUUUUUUUUUAAUGCUUUUUCGUACUAAAUUCUUUUAAGUUAAGAACAUAAAAAAGUAUGUUAAUUGCUAGGAAAAAAAUUUAAAAUAUUAUUUUAUGACAAAAUUCUAAUACAUUUCUAUAGAAAAUUUAAACUCAAAGGAUGGCACAAGUACCUUUUUGGGACUGAAUUAUGCAUAUACGCUGGAAAAAAAAUAUUCCGUAAAAUAGGUUUUCUUUUUUCAAAUUUAAGAAAGUAGGUCUUUUUUCUAUAGGUUUUUUUUCCUUCUAAUUGUGCACCGUUGAACGUAUUUUUCUUUCUCUCUUCUCAAUUAAAGAAGAGGAAAAUACGUUCAGUUGGUACACUUUCUUACCAACUGUACAAAAAACAUAUCCAACUCACCCUCUUUUCAAAAUUGAUAAAUUUUCCUAAAUCUAAAAAAAAAAAAGUUCAUUUAACCAAAUAUUUUUUUCCACUUAUAACCCUAAUUUAGCUCUUUUGGUGUAUCAAAAAUAUUUAAUUCAAGCAUGAUUAUAAUAGUAGAGUUUCAUAGCUUGCGAGUAAGGUUAAAUCUUUUAAUUAAAAAAUAAAUAUAAAAUAUGAUUUUUUUUUAAUUUUUGUUUGAGUUAAAAUAUAUGAUGAUAAUAUAAAUAAAUAAAAAACAUUUUUGAUAUAUGAUUAGUGAAAUCUUUUAUUUGUAAUUCACAUGCAUAUUAAGAAUUUGUAUGUUUCUCACGUUUAUUUUUAUUUUUUUUGUUUUUUUAAUUAUAUCCAGAUAAAUGUCCACUUGCUAAGAUUGUGAAAUUUAAGAAGUUGUUUUUAAAGGGUAAAAAGAAAAAGACAUUUGCAAUUCACUCAACUAUAGACAUUCAUGCAAAAUAACAUAUCCCAUUAAAACGUGGAACUCACUCGUAGUAAAUUUUGAAAAGAGGUAAAAUUAUUUUAUGGAUUUUUUUUCAUCGUAUUAUUUAUAGUUUUUUUUAAUUAUUUAGUGCUAUUUUAGUAAUUUUUUUAUGUCACUGACAUAUAAUUUUGGUAAAUUUUUUACCUAAACUCUGAUUUAGGGUUCGACUUCAAUGUUUAAGGUUUGGGGUUAGAGGUUCAUGGUAAAAGUUAUAAAAAUUAUGUGUCAAUAGUGUGAAAAUAAAUUGUUAAAAUAUCAUUAAAUAAUUAAAAAUGGACAUGUGAUGAAUAGGGUCCAUAAAAUAAUUUGAUGAAAUUUAAAAUUUAAAAUUUAAAAUUAAAAUCUUAAUAUUCGUGGAUAAUUUUUGUUAUUUCUUUUACAUAUAUUAUAAAGUUAAGAAAAAAAAUGUGACAGUUAAGAUUUCAACUUUAAGGAUUAAUAUAAAAUGUCAAUCACGUCCCUUAAUUAUGAAUAAAUCAUGUAUUGAUUAUUAUUUGACCACGUCACUUAAUUUGAUUGCCAGAGUUAGAGAAGUGUACAAUUAAUACUAGGAGUCUAGAAUUCAUCACUCACUUUUACGAGUGAAAAAGAUAAUUGUUUUAAAAUAAAUCAUUUAAAUUAAUUUUUAGCGCGGGGUGUCCCUGACACUUAUCAAACACGUUGCAGACACCGUAGAUGAUAAUUGACGAGUAAUCGAAGAAUGGCCAAAACAAGUAUGUUUUAGACUUCAAGCAGGAUUUCUUUUCCCGAUUAGACUCUGAUUAUUUUAAGGAUAUUUUAGUAUAAUUAAAACUCUAAUCCUAGCCUAGUUAAAGGGAGCUUGUACCCCUGUUUUGAUACGCCAAUCAGAAGUUGCAUAUGAGUUUUGGCAAUUAUGGAGAGUAUUUUAUACCUCUUUUGUGAGUGCCCCAUGAGAUUUAGGGUUUUGUUUAACGGUUUACUCUUUGGGAUCUUGAGCUAUCUAUUUGGUGUUUUGGGUAAUGCACAUCUAAUACAUUUAGAUUUAUUUUCUUCAUAUUGUAUUCUCGUUUGUCUACUCAUUUAGUGAAAAGUCGAUACCUCUUUUGCUCGUGAUUUUUCCCUCUUUGAGUUUUGCACGCAGAAUAUUUGUAUCCGUUCCUCUUUACUUUUACUAACUCGUUAUUUAUACGGGCUGAUCUCCUAAUGAUUGUUUUUAUUGGUACUUAAAAUUCUAAAUUAUUAUUAUUAAUUAUUUACAAAAGGUUUUAUAAUAUUAAAAAUGUGGUUAGAAGAGAAAUGAAGCCAUUGUUUUGUUGAAGAGGAAUGGGAAUGGUAGUGAUGUUUCCAAGAAGGAAACCAGUGGGAAGUUAAAGGGUAUUGGGAUUCAGUGUGUUGGGCAUAUGGGGCUCCAUGUGAUUAAUUAGUAUAUGAUUUUAUUUAAAAUUAUCGCAUAAAAUAUAUUCAGCCAAUGCGUUAAAAUAUACAACUUGGUAGUUCAAUCCAACCCACAACAAGAACCUUCCUUUCCUCUUUUAUAUUAACCAUUUUUAUAAUUUUUUUAGUAAUUAAAUAAUAUUUGAGCAUAACAAAAUAUUAAAAUUAUAAAAUAAUAACCAAGACUGAGUGAUAAUAGUUAUAGUGUUUUCUUACACAUAUAUUCUUAUUAUAAAUUAAUUAUUUGUGUUUUUUUUUAAACUCCACGAACACAAUUAAAGAAUUGCAUGCAUGAUAACAAUUUUUUUAAAAAAAUUUAAUUUUUAGAGUUGAAAAUAGAAAUCUAUAAAAAUAAAAUUUGGGUUUUAAUUUUAAUUUUAAAAUUUAUGAUUUUGAAUUUAUAGAUUUAUUAAUUUCCGUUUGGGAGAAUUGAAAAAGCUAAGCUUAUCUUUAAAUUAAACUUUUGUAUUUAAUUGCUGGAUGAGUCUAAACUCGCAUGGGUAUUAUUGUCAAUGCAAGAAAAUGUGGGUUCGAGUACGUUGAAGUAUAGAUUAGGGAGGAACUAUAAAUAGUUUUAAGCAUUAUGUCAACUAACUUAAAAAGGGUAUUUAGGAAAUAAAAUACAAAGAAUUAAGAACUUAAUUUGGUCAUUUUUGGGUUAACAGUUAUAUGAGAUGCAGUAAAAGAAAAUAAUAAAAAACGUGACAUAACAAGUAAAAUAAAAUACAUAAACGCAUAAAACUGUCUUAGUAAAAUCUCGAAAUUUUAUAUAAAAUUCGAUUACAACAUAAAAGAAAUACUAACAAAUUAUAAUUACUUGAUAAUUAAAGUUUUUUUUAUUUCAUAAGCAAAAUUAAGAAAUUGUCAUUAUCUCAUUUAUUUAGGGUAUAUUCCAUAAAUUAUCUAAAUUUUUCAUUUCAUUCAAAAUAACUUUUAAAAAUAUGUUUCAUGUUAAAAGUUUAAUUGAUACAAUUUUUUUUUUUGAAAAAGAAAAAGUGGUAACAUGGUAAAUAAGUGGGUAGCUAGUUAUUACUCGAUGUUAAAAAUGUGUUUUCAUUAAUAUUUGAAAUAAAUGAUUUUUUUUGUUAGAAAAACAAAUUAUGAUAUUUAAUUUUUAUUCAAAGCUAAUAUUAUAUUUAUAAGACUAAAAUUAUAAAAUAAAUAAAUUUAAAAAACCUUUUUAUUUUUAUCAAACAAUAUAAUUAUUUUCUAUAAAGACACCAAACAAUUCUAUAACAUGAAAGUGAAAAUGUGUUUUCAAGUCUAUGUAGUCUUGUAUAUUUGAAAUUUAACCAUCCUACUUUUAUUUUAAGAAAUGUAACCUCUCUGUUAUUUAUAUUUGAUAAAUGCGAAUCCGAUUGUUAAUAUUGUUAAAAUCCUUUUCCUAAAUUCAUAUUCAUUGCACUGUCAUUUGCUUUUAUUAAAUGACUAUUAAAAGAUGUCACACAAGUAAAUUUAAUAAAAAACUUUUAACAAUAUUAUCAAUUAAACUUAAAAUUUGAAAUUUGAAAAAGUAAAAGAAUUAAAUUCUUAAAAAGAUCUGAUAUAAAUUCAAUACUAAAAAAUAAGCAUAUAACUUUUAGCACUUAAUUUUUUAAUUUACUGAACAAAACAUUAUAGUUUAAUUUUUAAGAACACCAAUUAAAUUUCUUAAUGAUGAGAUUAAGCUGCCCUCUCAAAUAAGCUCAGCGUGAUAAGUGAGACAAUGAUAAAUUUUGGUCAUAAAAAUCAAACAUAAGAGGUGUGCAUAAUAGCCAGUCCAAAACCCCUUUUUUCUCUCUUUCUUGUUCCUUUUGAUUUUAGGAUUACAAAAAUGAUACAACUUAAAAGAAAUCAUAAUUCCCAUUAUAUCCGACCCAACACAGCAUUGAAUAAUUAAGGAAAGCCACAGCAACAACCAUAGAGUACCAGCGGGGUAUAUAUAUAUAUAUAUAUAUUCUUCUGUCUAUAAUCACUCUGCAUUAUAAUUGAUUUUUUUGAGACAUCGAGACACAUUAGAUGUGAGUUGCUGUUGUUCUUGCACUCUGGACUGAACCCAAACUCUUCUACCGAUAUGCACGCGUACCGCUUGCUUUAGUCACUUCUUCAAUAAGCCUAUACAUCCAACGAUCUAGCAUUCCUGUUUUUGCAUCACAUAAAGUGUCGGUUUAGCAUACGAAAGUAUAUGCUCAGAGGUUCAAAUCACACCCAAACCCAUAUUGAACUUGUGUAAAGUACUAAAUUACACCCAAACACCACAUAAUUAAUUUUGACCACCUAAGAUUCUGCUUUUUGGCCUAGUUGAACUUUGAAGCACUUGUAAGUAUUUUUUUUUUUUUUGGAUAAUUUAAUCAUGACCAUAGGUUGCAAACCUGUUAAAGCGAAUGUCCCUCCCAAUACAGCACAAAGUCGAGUGAUAAAAUGGAGAAAGCUUCGGCGCUCUUCUUUUAUUGUCACAGUGAUUGGUGACAAAUCAUACAAAAAGUAAACAGCUGAACAGAACGGUAAAGUAAUUAGCAACCACUAACCAAAGGUGCAAAAGAAGUAGUGAUGUUUACAAAGCCACACAUCCAACUAACCUGGCCAACUCCUAUCAUACUCCUUCAUAGGGGAAAAGUAUUCAGAGGCAGAAAACUGAUUUGUAGGCAAAACUUCUUUCCAGAUAUAUCUGUACUCGGUAGGGACAAUCUGCAAUGUAGUGAAGACAUCACUUGGAUGAACAGAGAUGUCCAAAUAAAGCAACUCAUUUCUGAAGUUAUAGACGCAAAGAAAGAUAGAGGGAAACCGAAAUGGUACCAAAGAAUGUAAGGUGCAAAAUGAAAGAGCUUGUUACAAUUUUAUGGAAUAUACCAUAAAACUAUACUUUUACAAGGAUCUAGAGUUUGGAGCAUAAAGGUAGAGCAGAAGAAAUGUACCUAGAGAGCAACACCUGUUAAUGCUUAUAGGAUGUUGCAAAAGAAGAAAAAGGAUAGGUAUGAAAAAAAUCUAGGGUCUCCUUUUAAGUGAAGGACGAGAAUAAUCACAAUUAACAAGGUGUCCUUACUGCUUUGCAGAUAGGCAUGAAAAAAAUCUAGGGUUUCCUUUUAAGUGAAGGAUGAAAAUAAUCACAAUUAACAAGGUCACCUUACUGCAUUGCAGAUAACCUUUUUGAACCAACCAAGAAGCUUUAUAUUGUGCCUCUUCCCAACCAAUCAUACACCGGUAAAAUAAGAGAUGAUACAAAGUUCAGAUAGUUAUGUGCUAGAUAACCAAUAUAAUUUGGGCUCAAGCACUAAAAGAGAGAAAGAGGAUGCAGAGGGAGGCUUUAGCUCUAUUUAUAAACAAAAAUAGCGACCAUGCAUGAUUGUACUACUUACUAGAUCAUCAAGUUCAUCAACCAAAAGACAAUUACACAAUCAAUUCAAUGCAGAACACAUGGAUCAUCAGUGUGGGUUCAUUGGAAAGGUUGAGUGGCAUUUGCCACAAUCUUUGGUAAAUAAAGAGAAAGCUUGAAAUAGAAACCUUUAUGUAAUACUUGAAUGUUCCACUUGUUUCAUGCAAAAUCCGCACCGUACCAUCAAGCGGGUUGUGGAGUCCUGGAUAUUUUGGCCCGAAUGAUAAAUCAUGAAUCAUAUGACUUACAUUGACAUGCGUUGCUCCUCCAAAGAUCUGUGAGCAAAGAAGAAAAGGACUUCAACUUAAUUUAAAGAUAAAGGAAAAGCCAUGUCAAAAAGAAACUAAAUAUGACAAUAUUCUAGAUAUCCUCAUUAUUGUAACUGCAAAGCAACUAAGAGAGAAAUAUUGUAAAUAAAUCUAGCACAUUCUUGCAAACUAAAUUUAGAAUUUCAAUUUCUUCACUAUAAGCAAAGUUUCAAAUCUUCGGCUAAAUAUGUACCAAGUAUCUACGGCAAGUUUGGUCAGCUGCAUGUGCUUGUUAUUUAAAAAGGGGAUGAUCUAUCUCUGGUGUAUAUGUAUUAAAAAUAUAUUAUUAAUAGUAAUUUUAAAAGACAUAAAAGGACAAUUUCUUUUCACCCGUUUUUUCCCUUCCUCCUCUUUCUACCUCACUCCCUCUCUCUAACUCUCCCUUCUUUAAUUCAUUCAAAAACAAAGCCCAGAAAUCACUAACAUUUCCAAAAUCCAGCACCAGCUGCCAUAGCUUGCCACUACCGAUCAGCACCAAAACUUCCCAAAUUUCAUCCAAAGCUUCCUCUAAAACCUCUUGAUCCAAUUUCCCACAUCACUUUCUUACCCCCCCCCAAAAAAAAAAAAAACAGAGAGCCUAGAUCUAAGAAAUCAACCCAUGCAUCCACCCCAAAUUUAGCCAUCCUCCAGCACUCCAAAAGCCCCAGAUUCCCGUAAACCUCUAUAACUAACCAAACCCGAAACCCUAGGAGAGGGCAGAAAAAGGAAAUAGGUCACUUGCAUAAUAGGGGACCACAAAAUUUAUCAACUAAACACGUUUCAGAAGAGCAGGUUCGAGUUAAAUUCAACACCAUAUGUCCAAAUGUGGCAUAAUAUUCACGUCUAUAAAAAAAAUAAACAGUAAAACUUUGUACAACUAGUUAUCUUGAUGAAAACUAUUUACAAAUUAACACAUUAAAAGCAGAAGAAAAAGAAAAUAGGUCAUAAUAAUCAUUGUUAUUUUAUUAUAUUUAAAACUUUGAAUUGUGAAGGUUUUCUUUCUGUUCAAAAUUUUGCAGCAUGCAACUAAUUAUGCCGUAGGAUGAUGGUAAAUAAAUAUUCAUAUAUUUUAUUCCAUUAAAAGAUAAAAAUUAGGGUUUUUUCUUAUAAUAAUAAUUCAAAACAUUCAAUAAAGACCAAAAUGGUGAAAAAAGAAAAAAAGUCAUGCAUUUCACUAUCAAUCAAACACCAACAAGAAACCUCACACGAGCUAUCACUAGAUGCACUCUAGCCAAGAAGCUGAAUACAUGCAUGAUUUAGGAUAUGACAUCAAAUUAGAUUGCUAUGAGAAAAGGUUAAUAACCAUUUGAGCAACAUAAAUGUUUAACCCAUGAACGGAGAUGUGAAAGUUUCCAGCCACCCUUUGGACAUCUAAUACCCCAUAAACCUGCACAAAUGUUACGUUAAUAGAUCAGUUGACUUUAUACUCUUUCAUUUACAACCCUUUUGGGGCCCCAAAAAUAAAAACCCUAUUGAAUAAAUACCCGGCAUCCUUCUCCAUUGUCCAAUGCUUUCUUCACCUUCUUGAUCAUAUUUUCAGCUUCUUCAUUGAAGCCAAGUGCAUGAAGCUUCUUGUCAGCAUCAUCAUGAUGUUCAUUUUCAUCAUCUGGUCACAUUUGCUAAAAGAAAUUAAUUAUUUAAGCCUUAAAAUAUCAGGUUACAACUAUUUCUCAUUUUCUAUAUAUACCUCACAUGAACCAUAAAUGACCUAAACAAAGUUGUAAAUUUUUAAAUAAAUAGAUACACACUUUGAUGUAUCCUAUAAGAAAGAAGUAAACACUCAGAUUUAUCUAAAUAAAAUCUGCAGAGCAAUUUGGUCAUUUUGACUAAAGUCAAAGAUAAAAAAUCUAGAACUUGGAAAUGUGGUUUAAGCCACAAGUCAGAAAUAUUGCUUAAUAAUUGAUCAAACAUGCUUAUGCUUCAUUUUCAAAGUGACUCAUAUCUUUUAUCAAAGGAGUAAAGCAUGGUUGUUUUAACAUUUCAUACCUUCUUUAUGUACUUUUGCUCCCUCUAUGCUUAUUCUACCCAUCCAGCCCAAAAAUAUAGGAAAGAGAGAAAAGGCAAAGUAUGACUAUCAGCAACAUUGGGAAAAUUCUAAAACGAGCUCCUCAAUAUGAGCUUUCCAUCAGCUCCAAUAUUACCAAAACAUUACAAAAGCUGUAAUAAUUUGUGUAAUUGGUUAAUGUUUUGUAUAAUUACACAAAACAUUACGAAAGUUGUAAUAAUUUGUGUAAUUGGGUAAUGCUUUGUGUGAUUGCGUAAUUACACAAUACAUUACAAAAGUUGUAAUAAUUUGUAUAAUUGGGUAAUUGUUUUGUGUAGUAGAAGCUUAUGGAAAGCUUAUUUUAGAAGCUCACCCUAAAAGUUCUCGCAACAUUGUGCAAGGGAUGUUGCAUCCUCCAUACAUAUAAUAAUGUCCAGAAAAUAUAUCCAUGCACUGUGAACAUAGAUAAAUCUCCCAAAAAGAUAAACUAAAACCAUGAGGUAGAUGUACAACACAAAGGAUAAUACCGUGCUUGUGAGCAGCAUGCUCCUUUUCCACAAGGUCAGACAAAUAUUCAGUGCCAAUGAUAUGACCAUGACUGUUCAGGCGAAGCUGCAGAAGGUUUAACAUUGUUAGCUAUAUAACAAACAUGGAAAUCUAACCAGAAAUCCUACAUCCAUUUCUAAAUACACUCAUUUCCAAAAGAGGGAAAAAGGACCUCCUAAGAAGAAUGCCAUAUUCAUUAUUAGUACAUGAUGAUCAUUAAAUCAAUAAAGUCUUGCUGACAAUAAAAAGUUGUCUUACUUUCCAUAUGUUAGUAUCAAGAUCCACUUCAUGCUUGCCUGACAUGUCAAUGGCGUCUACACUUAAUACUGCAAAAAUAAUAGAAUAGACAAACAGCCAACAGUCAAUAUUCUAAAUGAGAUUAACAGAAUCUACCCAAAAAAAAAGGACAAAGAGAGGAAGGUUUCAUUAGAAGAGAUUUACAAACCAUCGCAAGGUAAUGAAGGAAAUGUCAUAUUAAUGUGAAUUGGAAGUGUUUCUCCACGUUUCAAGUCUACAGACAUCUGACAAAUAACUGUUCAGUUAGAUCAUCUCACCUAACCUUAAAAUCUCAAACUACUAAAGACAUCUGACAAAUAACUGUUCAAAUAAGUGGCUGCUGAGUUGCAACUUGCAAGGAUUAGUUAAAAUCGUAUACAUGAUAAUUGCAUGCAAAAGAUGUUGGAAUUGUUGUAAUUAGACUUUAGAGGGACUAGUAUUUGGCAGGUCAGUAAGUUUAAGUAAUAGAGGAGAAGAUAAUAUUGAUAUGAUUGCAGAAGAUUAUUACAUAAAAAAGAAAGCAAAGGAUUAAAACCAUUCAUUGUCUUCAAUUAGAAGCCUACACAAAAAAGUAUCCAACAAACUAGCAAAAGAAGAUGUGUUCUACAGAAGCAUCAUUUAUGACACCCAAAAUUUUGCCUAUCAUUCUAUUUCAAGCUGAGAAACAAUAGAACCAUGUUCAAGGCGGCAGACAAGUCUUUUUCAAAUUUGUCUUUGGUGUGAUCACGCCCUAUGGGCAAUACCAUUAUUCCAUCCAAACAAAUGCAACAAAAUAAAAUAGGUAGCAGCUAUAAAUAAAACUGCAAAAAAAAAAAAAAUGCAAACCUGAUGAACAGUGUACGUCGAAAGAUAAUAGGUAAGCUCGUGAAAGAACAGCGUGGUCAUUAUCACUAAACCAACGAUGGACACUAUAAUAAUGAAUUUUACCAGGAAAAAGAAAAACAAUUAGUACUUGUUCAAAUGAAUAAAUAGCAUGAUUUUUUAGUUGAAUAUAAGUUAACAAUUGACAAUUCACCUAAUGCUCCCGAUUGCGUCUUCUGCAGCAGAUGUUCCUCCGCGCGAGGAAACGCAUCCAGAUUUUUAAUAGCUUGCUUCACGCCCAUCUUCCCUCCUUUUUUUUUCUCUACCAAAAACCCCCCAAACAAAAAGUAAUAUGAAUUAAUUAGAAACGUUAAAUAUUUAAAUCAAUCGUCGCUACCCUAAACCCUAAAACAAAUUAAAAGGAAACGAAGAAUUAGGGUUCGUUAGAACCAUAAAAAAGAAACCGAAUGUGAUCUGGUGUCAAAUUAGGGUCUCGUAACAGAAUAAAUACCUAAUCGGGAUAUUGUUUUGGGGGAGUUUGUUGUGGCUGUUUUCUAGGAGCAGCUUCGAAAUCUUCGUAAGGGGGGGCGUGGGAUGAAUUUUUGUUAGCCGUCAACUCCGACAGCAAGCCGCCUGGAUUUUCUUUUCUUUUUUUUUAAUUUCUUUGUGAGAAAAACAUAUCGGAACCCGGAAGCCCGCCCGAUUUGAAACUGAAUUCAAUCUAAUUUAUCAUAGUUUACUCGCGAAAUUUGAUAAAAUUUCCCCUUUGGUUUUUUUUUUAAUAUUAGUUUUGAAAUUUGACAUUUUUUCAAAAUUAAUCCUUAAAUUUAAAUUCUAUUAAAUUAAAAUGACUUGAUAUUCUAAAAUUAUAUUGUAAUAUCACUUACCUUUUUUUAAAAAAAAUAUGCAUUUUAUAAUUUUAAUAAAUUUUUAAUAAAUAUAUAAUUUUUUAAAAACUUUUAUGUAAUGAUGUGGCACAAUAUUAGAAUACAAGUUUUAAUGAAAUUUAAGUUGAAGGUUCCUAUAAAGGUUAUUGUUAAAUACACAGCAAGUGAAAAGUAAAAAUUUCAAUAAUAGAAUUAGAAUAAUAAAAAAUAUCUAAAAAGAAAAUAAAUAAGACACUUGUCCAUUGUGAUAUUUUAAUUUUAUUUGUGAAAAUUUUACUUUAUAUUAAUAUUUCGCCUAAUAAUAACCUUCUAUUAAUAAUUUAUUAUAAUUUUUUUAGUAAAAAAAAUAACUUCAACAAAAUUAAAUCUAAUAACACAUUCAUCACUAACAUCGACUUACAAAAAAAAAAAAAAACAAGAGAAGCUUUGAGAUGUAAACACCAAAUAAUGAACUUCAAAAUCCGAAGCUUGUGCCAAAUUCACCUAGUAUACUCACCUAUUUCCUUCUCUAAAAAAUACCAACUUUUUCUAACUAACGGAAGGUAGUCCCUUAGACUUGAUAAUGACCAGGCCACUUGAUCUAAUUCAAAGAUUCAUUUGAAAAGUAAGAGGGUUUGGAUAAAAAUAUAGCUAUAAAAAUUAGGUUUCAGCAAAAAAAAAAAAAGACUCAUUUAGAAAACAAGUCGAGCCUCGAGUAAGUUUUUUUUGGUUUGGGCUCGGCCCAACCUGAAAUUGAAAAAAAAAUUGUUGUUUUUUUUUCACUGUUUUGCUGCUAUUCACUAUUAUAUCAUUUUGUUGAUAUUAUUUGAAUAUUAUAUAACUCUUGUUUUAUUGUUAAUUUUAUUACUAUAUUAAGAAACAUUUGAUUGUUAAGUUGCACUAGUCAUUUAAGUAUAAAGAUUUUUUUAAUUUAUUUUCAAUUUGUUGAAAAAUAUUUAUUUUAAUACUUUUAGUGUUUUUAAUGUAUUAUAUUUUUUAAAUUUAUUUUUAUAUAAAAAAUAUUAUUAAAAAAUUUUAAUACAAGUCAAGCUAAGCUCGGAUUUUAGCUUUUUUAUCUGGGCUAGACUUAAAUAAAAAUUUAGGCUCAUUUUUUGGGACCAAAUCCACUUAUCAAACGAGCCUGAAAUUUUAUUAUGGCCCAACUCAAAUCAUUACCUGACCUGAUCCAUAAUCACCUCUAAAAAGUACUCAAAACAUGCCGGAAAUCUUCGAGCCCAAUGUAUAUCUUUUAAAACAAUCAUUAAAUUAUUUUAAAAAAUAAACACAUUAAUUAUAAACAUAGAUUUUCUUUAAUACAAUUAUUAUAUUUGUAACAAUUAAUUCAUACUCAGAUUCGCACAAAACUAAUGUAUCUUGGAGCCAUGUCGUCCCAACCUAUACGAACUAUUGUGUUUGCUAUCCGCCCAAUUAUGGUCGCUACAAAUGAUGUAUGGCGCACUAGAGGUUUCUGAAUAUAUCAUUUCACAUACAAAAGUAUAAAAAUCCAGAAAGAGAAAGCCUCAGAAAUCCACUGCAAGGUUUCUGAAUUGCAGUUUGAAGAUGUUGGAGAUCACAAUUCUAACACUAAACCAACCAUAAGAAAUUAUUAAAAGUGCAAACUAAUAGAAGUUGUCUGGUAAUGGCUUCUGCCUCAGCAUUGUAUUCCAUCUCAUGUUGGGGUAUGUUUUGUUUGUUGUCUUUUCUGUUUUAUCUACAAUGUCUUUUAAUAUUUGUUUUAUUGCAGAAGCAGAAAUUUUUAUGUGUGUAUUUGUUGGGAAAGGCAAUUAACAUGAUUGAAAAGGGUCAGUUUCAGGUAGGCAGUUGGAUAAAGUAAAUGCAUGGAUACAAGGUUGGUAUCACUUAACCAUCUCCUACCCUACAAUAAUUCUUUACUAAUAAAUUUAUUGAUUGAAACCCACUACUUAAAUUGACAUGCUGGACCAGUUUCUGCAAAUUCUGAAUGGGAGAAGCCAUAGAUUUGAGAGUGCUUAUGGAUCAUGACAAAGAACAGGACAAAGAAUUUCAUGCAAUGCUAAUGGCUCCCAAAAUGCCAAAGGCAGUGAAACCAGUCAUUGCAGCUGAUGGUGACAAUGUUAGGCGGCCUCGAGGGAGGCCAGCAGGCUCCAAAAACAAACCAAAACCACCCAUUAUCGUCACUCGAGAAAGUGCUAAUGCGAUAAGAGCCCAUGCAAUGGAGGUGAGUUCAGGUUGCGAUGUGAACGAGAGCUUAGCUAACUUUGCAAGGAAAAAGCAGCGUGGCAUUUGUGUGCUUAGUGGGAGUGGGUGUGUGACUAAUGUUACACUCAGACAACCAGCUUCAUCAGGUGUAAUUGUUACUCUGCAUGGCCGAUACGAGAUUCUCUCCUUGCUUGGAUCGAUCCUGCCCCCUCCAGCCCCACCGGGGAUCACGGGGCUAACCAUUUACCUGGCUGGCGCUCAGGGACAGGUUGCUGGUGGAGUGGUAGUUGGUGCACUCAUUGCAUCCGGUCCCGUUCUGGUCAUGGCUGCAUCCUUCAUGAACGCCACCUUCGAUCGUUUACCAUUGGACGAAGAUGAAGUUGCAACAGCAAUGCAGAACCAAUAUGGUCACCAUAAUGGUCCACAUCAUCAGCCCGACGAAUCCGAUCUGUAUGGGAUGCCGCAGAACUUGAUCACCAAUGGAACUACACCUCCUGAGAUGUACCCUUGGGCACCAGGACGAACCAUGUCAAAAACCUAACCCGGAAUAGCCAGCAAUUCUUCGGAGAUUCUCACAUCCUCCAAAUAUCCUCAUUCGGCUUCAUUGAGUAUACCUGUGUAGGACAUAUAUGUAACACAUGUUACUAUACACUUAAAUAAUGGUAGACUUAAAACAUGUCUGCAGCACCAAUUAACGGAAUGGAACUAUUGCCAUUUUUUGAUCCAAGAUAUAAGCAUAAUCCUACAAGAAAAAGCACCAAAUAUAAUGACCGAGUCCUGAGUUUGAAGCUCGUUCAUUCCUUGUAUUGUAAAAUGAGUUUCAACUCAUUCAAAACAGGGUAUAUCUCCUUUGCUUGAGGGUGCAGCCUUCCACCAGAAACAAACUCAUGAACUUCACCAUUAACUUCAAUAAGACUACACCCUGGUUCUUUCUCUAAUUGCUUCUCUUUUACUAAAAGCCUUUGCUUGAUGGCUUCCUCGAAUUGCUUAUUUGCAGCAUAAACAUUAGACAUAAGUACAUAUCCAGAGCUUUCAUCUGGAUCAAGUUCAAUAACAUGUUUAACUGCCCUUUUUGCUAUCUCAACAUUUCCAUGCUUCCUACAAGCUGAGAGCAAAGACCCCCAUAUAAUGGCAUCUCCAUUAAUGGGCAUACUUGUUAUUAACUGUUCUGCCUCUUCAAGGAACCCAGCAUUACCUAGCACAUCAACCAUGCAACUGUAGUGCUUAAUGGAUGGCUUGAUUUUGUAUUUUUCAGUCAUCAAUGAGAAGUAUUGCCUUGCUCUAUCCACCAUCCCUCCAUGAUUACAAGCCAUUAGAACACCAAUGAAACUGACAUAAUCCGGUUCAAGACUUGAAGACUCUAGCUUAGAAAACAAUCGAAUCGCUUCUUGUUCACAUCCAUUUGUAGCUAGGCCUAAGAUCAUGGCGUUCCAACAUGACAAUCCUCCCUUGGGAUACGUUCUGAAAACUUGUAGAGCCUUUUCAACAUCCCCACACUUGCAAUACAUGUCUAUAAUUGCAGUAACAAGAAUGACAUUCAACUCAAAGUUUUGGCUCAGUACAUAAUCAUGUACCCAUUUUCCUUGUGUAAUUGCUCCCAAGCAAGCACAAGCAUUUAGCAAACUGACCAUUGUGAACUCACUAGGCCGAACAUUCUCUCCUUGCAUCUCUUGAAACAGGUCCAAUGCUUCCAAAAACUUACCAUUCCUAACAUAACCACUAAUCAUUGAAUUCCAUGAAACAGUGUUUCUCGUCGCCAUUUUAUCGAACAGUCUCCUGGACUCAUCAAUCUCUCCACAUUUAGCAAGCCCCAUAACCAUGGAAUUCCAGGCGACAACGUCUAAUUCCAUUUCUUCUUCAUCAAACAUUCGCCAAGCUUCACUCAAAAGCCCACAAUUCGCAUACAUGUAAACCAUUGUGUUUCGUAUAAAUUGAUCACAGUCAAGACCCUGUUUUAUAACUCUCCCGUGAAGCUGUCUCCCAUCAGAAGCCAGACCAAGUUGAGCAUAUGCCUUAAACACAGAAGGAUAAGUUAACCUUCCUGGUUCCACAGACGAAUAAACCAACAUGUCAAUGAAAAGAGAGAUGGCAAUUUGCGGGUUAGAGCUUCGAGAGAAGCCUCUAAUGAUGACGUUCCAAGCAAAGAGAUUUGGGUUUUGGAUUCGAGUGAAGACGGAGCAAGCAUAGUUGAUGUCGCCUGCUGGAGAUGCAGAGAAGGCCAAGACACGGCUAGCUGCUAUAAUGUCAUUGAAAAGACCAGUUUUGAUGAGUUGGGCAUGGAUUUUUUUGAGGUCGUUCAUGGUGGUGCACUUGGUUUCUAGUAAGGAGAGGCAUGGCUGAUCUGAUAUGAACUUGGUUAUGGAAUUUGGAAACGGUUUUAGGCAGGAAAAACUUUGAAGCAUCGAUUUUUAUUCUGCUGCUUGUUUUCUGCUUUCUUACACUCUGUAUGUUAUCCACAAAGAGGAAAGAGCACAGGUUCUACGCAUAGGGCUGAUUGUUUUUUUUUAAUCAAGGAUUAUUUCCAUCAAACAUCCCCAAACUUAGACUUCAUUUUAAAUUAAUCUUUAAACUUCAAAUUAUUCUAAUUACAUCCUUAAUCUAUCAAGGUGAUAUCAAUUAAGUCAUCUCAUUAUUAAAACCAUUAAUUUAGCUAUUGCAUAACCAGCUCCAAACCCUUUUGUAGCUACUGCCGCUAUUUUCUUGAUCUAUCUAAUUGGUGAAGGAAGUUUUCUUUAUGGUAUGCCCCAUCUUCCUAUUUUUAUGUGUUAAAAUAUAUGCCAAAUAUUAUGUGACAUAAUUUUGCAUUAAUUUAACGUUGUUGCAUAAUAAAACUUCCGUACAAAUUUUAAAAAUCUCAAAAUUAAUAUCUUUAAAAUAUUCAUUUUUUUAAUUUUCAUUUUCGAUUAUGUCACGUGAAAUUUGAUAUGUUAUAUAAUAAUUAAAUUAACGAUUUUAAUAACAAAAUGACCUAAUUGAUAUGACCUCAAUAAUUUAAAAACGUAAUUAAAAUGAUUUAAAAUUUAAAAAUUAAUUUAAAAUCAUAACUUGGAUGUCUCAUGCAAUUAACUCUUAAAUAAAUUAUGGAGAUAGGAUAGAAAUAAUUUGAUACCUUUAAUCUUUAUUCAAGUAAAUAUAAUUAAUGAAUAUGUUAAUUAUUUUUAUUAAUAAUCUAUGUGGUAAGUAAUAAUUUAGUCACACGAAAUAAUUUAAUAAAUAUAAUUAAAGUGAGGUUAAGUGUUUAUGUUAAUAAAAAAUAUUAGUAUGGUACACUUACGUUUUGUGUUAGAUUGAUUAUUUAUUUAUAUCAAAUUAUAAAAUAAAAAUUUGAAGAUAAAAUAUACUCUAAGUAAAGUUUUCAGAAUCUGGUUAAAUCACUAAUUUAUGUGAUUCGAUUAAAUGACUUAAUUAAUACCUUAAACAGAAAUAAAAGAAUAGCUAAUUUCAUCCUAACAAAUUCUUUUUACUUUCCAUUUAUACGGGAAACUAACUUUCGUGUGAAUUACUUUCCAUUGCUUAAAUGUUACAUUUCAAGGAAAAGGAAUUAAUUUUACAUACCAAACAUUAAAAUUAUGUUCCAACCAAUUAAAUUUCUUGAAAAGUGUUAACUUUCCAUCAUAUCAAACACCCAUAAAUUGUUGUUUGAGUAUUUAUUUAUUUCUUAAAGAAAUAAAAUCUACUCUUAGCCCACUCAUUUAUGUAGUUUUUAAUCAUGUUCAAAAAAUUAUCAUUUAUAGUCUUAGCUCGAUUGGCAUCGGCAUUGUUGCCAGUGCAGGAAUAUGUGAGUUUGAAUGUGCUAAAACGUAUUAUCCUCCUAUUUUAGGGUUGAAAAGGGACUAUGAGUACGUCUAGACAUUGUAUCAAAAAAAACAUAUAUAAUAAAAACCUAUGAUGAGAUUAAUGUUAAUAUAUAUAUCAUUUAUUAGUAAAAGAUUUUUUAACCUUUUUUUCAUAAAAAUGGAAGGAAGGGAUUCUACGAGAUUUUAAUGUGGCACCUAAAAUCAAUUAGAGGUGUUCAUGGGUCGGGUCGGGCCUAAACAUGAUAUUAACAUAUUUUAUGUUUAUCCAAACCUGGCCUAACUUAAAAUAUGGGCCUAAAAUUUGGCCCAAACCUACUCAUAUUUACAAAAAACUAACUCAAGCCAAUUUUAAGUUCGCCCAUAUUAUUUUUUUUAAAAUAUUUAUUUUAAUAUUUAAUAUUUUUUAUUUAUCAAAAGAUUUUAUAUAGUCAGCUUAAUAUUAUUUUAAUGUUUAUAUUAGAAUAGUAUUAUAUAUUUAGUAUAAGUUUAUUUUUUUAAUGUAUUCUAAAUUACAUAAUAUAUAAAAAUAACAUAAUAUAAAAUAUUAUAAGCUUAAAAACGGGCUCGGGCCUUGAAUAUUCAAGCCUGAGCUCGACUCAUAUUUUAAACGGGCCUACUUUUUUUGCUCAAACCCAUUUUUCGAAUUUAAUAUUCGAACGUACUUUUUCAGAGCUAAACGGAUAACAGGAAUUCAUAAACAAGUUAAUCUUUCAACACUGCACCACUAGUUGGAUGGACAAAACUACGCUAAUUUCCCUAACCUGAAAGCCCUUCCAUGAAUCAAGCUAUUUGAACUACAUUCCUUUGUUCUUAAUUAAAUUUAAUUGUUGAAAACAGGAAUUCAUUUUAAAUAUUUCAAUACUUCAACAAAUUCAUGAGACUUGAAUUACUUCAUUGUUAGUAAUUGAGAAUAUAAUAUGUUAAAAAAAUUUGCUAUCACUAUUUUAUCAUAACACAAUUUUAUUACUCACCGUUUUAUCAAGAUUGAGCAUCAUACACAUACCACGUGAAAUUCUUGUAAUAUACUUCAUCAAAGAUAGAUGUUGAGUUCUUCCUUUCAUGGCUCACACUCUCAAGCGGCCAACUAAAAUGGGAUUUGAGCUGUACACGUGUAUACGUGUGUGUAGACCCAAAGUUAAGAGAAAAUCCCCUUCAUUUAAAAGAUUCUAUGUCUCUCCAUCACACCCUCUCUUCUAAAAAAAAUUAGAAACCUCCGCAUACGACUCUCUACACAUCCUCCAUUGUGAGUACCGUCUCCAUCUCCUCCUCAUCCCUCAAGUCAAUGUUAUGUGGGUAUGCUUGAUGGAGAUACUACAUAUUAUGCACAGCCAAAUCGAGAGAAUACAUGUUUGUAUAUAUAUAACAUUGCAGUUUACACGUAUUUCACAGGCUAUGUUUUUUAAAAUUUACAAGGUAAGUUUCAUUCAAGCUUUAUUUGAAACUAUAACCCCAAAGAAGAAAAGAAAUUAUGAAGUAAACUACCUACCACCACCCUCUUUUCUGAAACAUUAAUACAUUAAUAGAAAUCCUACUUCACAAACAGUCGCCUAUAAUUUGCUGCUUCACCACUGAUAAUUUCACAUAUCAAGUCUUUGAAGAUCAACCUCUCAACAUCCAACACAACCCAUGGAAUUUCACUCUUGCACUUGCUCCAAUCCAUUGCUCCAACCUUCAAAUCUCUCAUUAAGAUGCUUUGCACACUGUUAAUCUCAUCAUCCAACCUUGUACUUGAUACUGUUUGUAGUUUAUCAAUGUCCAAACAUGAAUCUCUUACCACAUCCUGUCUCUUUGGUUUUCUAUCCUCCACCACACAUGGCUUGUCUGUCUCAGAGCUUUCCUUCACUAACUUCCUCACACGAAUUUCAUUAACCUCAUCGAAUGUAAGCUGUUUGUGGUUCAGACUCCAUUCUGCUUCAUCAGCAAUAAGACCCUCAUAAUCUGUCAUAAGCACUAUGUUAGCCAGAUUCGAAUAGAUAUGUUUAAUUAGUCCAAUGCAUAAAGGAUAUAAGAGCUUCUCACCUUCAAAAGGAUUUGAUUUUUUCUUCACAGGAGAUGGUGAUUCGUCUCCGUAAAAUGUGGCAUCUAGAACCGAGACUGGACUUGGUUGUUCCAUAAUUGUAUUCGGAGGUUCUGUUGUUGAAAUCUGAAUGAUAGAAAUGUAAGCUGUUUUAAAAGAUGAUCAAAAUAUUAUAUGAAUGAAAUGAUUGGAAGGUAGAACACUUACUUUAUGAUUCUUUUCUUGUUUUUGGGAGACUGAUCCGUUGUGAGAUCUAUUCAUGCUUGUGACUUCAAUGUCACCGUAAGUGGCUGCACUCGAAUUGCUCUUGAAUUGCAUUGAACAAGCAUCCCCUUGGUGGCUUAAAUCUGUCAUGUCACUACUGAUAUCACUUGUUUGAUCAUCGCGUCGUUGCAAAUCGUGGGAUUUAUCCCUGGACAUCCAAUGCGGCAAGCCUGAUUCUGCUUGUAUUCUGCUUGAUUGCCUUCUGCUUCUGCUCUGCUCUGAUGCUGGACGAGUGCGACGAGGUUUUUUUUCCAAUUCAAGCUUCUUCUUAAGGCAUGUGGUCUCUGAGCUCAUUGCCAGCUUCGGGUUUUCUCCAGCAAUAGGCGACAGCUCUUUUGAAGUUUGGUUUAAUGUUAGAGUUCUGGGAGUCGUGCUCGGUUGGGGUCGGCCGGAAGGAUGUUUAGGAGAAUUAGGCCUUAGAGUUAAUUCUUUAUAUGGUCGCUUGUCAACCUUUUCAUUUCCGACUUCGGCAGGGCUACUCCGUGUGCGGAUUCUGCUUAAACUGCUUGUUGCAACCACUGAUGAACUAGAAUUGCUGGCAUUUUCGAUGCAGUUUGCUGGUUUAGUAAUCUUGACCGCGGAUUUAAGGCGUGUCGGAGAACUAGUUCCCUUAACUAUGGCUGAAACUGAAUUGCUACUUUGUAGCUUUCUCAAGUUUGGUGCUUCUGAGCUGUGACCAAGGACGCUGUUCGCUUGAGAUACAAAAAUUGAAGCUUGGUCAUCUUUUCUGGUCCCCACCAUCUGUUUAGACUUCUGCAUUGCUUCAAGUAUUUGCUUAAGGGCUCUGAGAUCCUUUCCUGACUUUUGGAACUCGAGUUCUGCCAGCCGUUUCUCAAUCUCACCAUAAACAGUUAGAGAGGAGUUCGGGGAUUUAGGCAGAGUUUCUCGACAUUUCGAAGCCGAUGUUUGAACUAUGCUUCCAUCCAUAUGCUUCCAUGGGGCUGGUUCAUUCGAACAUCUAGUUGCAAUAGAUUUCUUCGAGUCUGCAUUUGUCAAAUCGGGUGAGCUGGGUUCCAUCUUUGAAUUUCUUGGAGAACAAGAAACCCGAUUUUUUGAAUUCUCAUCGAUUCUCAAUGAGAAUGAAGGGAGAUCGUCUUUCAAUAUUUCCAGCCCCAUCAACUUGGCUACAAUGCUAGAUGGUCCUUUGCCGCUCCCAGGUUCUUGUUGUUGGCUUCUCAUUUCAUUGCAGUUCAUAUGGUUGGUUGAACGUUUCAUGGAGAUUUCCCUACUAUCUAGUGACAGCCUUGGCUGAUCUUUGAGCUUAACUUUAACUGCAUCAUGCGACCCCCUCCCGUCAUAAGAGAAACGGCGAGCAUCCUUUGCCACGAAAGUGAGCGAACCAUCAUUGCGUCCAUUGGCCGUUCUAGGCACUUCUAGAUUGAUUUUCCUUGUCAUUGCAGGUUUCGGUGACUGCGAAGGCCUCGGGGAAUCUAUGUACUUCAAGGUCUGGUGCUGCCCUGCAUCCGCUUUCAUCCCGGUUUUAACCGAUAAUCCCCGGGCUUCUCUGUAGAUGCAGUCUUUAACCACAUUUCUGAGGUUAACUGAAUGUUGGCAUGACUGCAAAGAAACCGUCGAUUGCUCAUUGGAUAUUUCCUGCUUUGGGAUUUCAGGAAAGCUGGUUUGGCUCGACGAAGACCGAUGCUGAUCGAGUCGAGAUGCUUUGGUGCAGUCAGCAGAUGAGUAAGAGGACGACGAGGUUCGGGGUGAUUCAAACGACAACCUUUGAUUCUCUUUCGCAGUCUUUUUCAGAUUAUUUUCCUGCAGCCGUAAAUCAAGUUAAGUUAGCUUUAAUUUUGUUCGGGUCAAUUCCCACACCAUAACAGCUGACUAGACAAUUCCUUACCUUUAUUCUUUGUGAAGCAAUCUUUGCCUCUGUUCCAUGCUUGCCAAUUGAACCUAUAGUAAUUGCAGAAGCAAAAUUGAGUAAAAUGUUAAAAGAACUUGUACUGAAAUUAAUUAAGCAGUAAGAGCAGAGAGGUAAAUUACCAGGUGGAAGGCAUUUGUGGGAUGGGGUGGCAAAGCGUCGGCUACCAAGGAAAUGGUGGAAGAGACCAUUCAUGCACCCAAUCUGCUUCUGCAGAUCUGGGUUUUCAUCUGACAAUGGAUACAUAAACUUUGCCGACAUCUUCACUUUAUCUCUACAACAUUUACCAUGCAUUGCCAGAAACCAUAUCAACUCUUGUCCAUGGGGUAUAUAUCGGGAUUGUGAAAUCUGAAUGCAGACGUUUUAUAUCUUUGUCCUGGUGAGAAUUCAGAGAAUAUUCAGAGGGGGAGGCACAGAUUUAAAGAUAAAAAGAGAGGAACUGAAGGAACCCCACGAUUCUAAUUCUUCCCAUUUGCAAUGAGAUAAAAACGUUUAUUCCUUGGGCUUCACACAACAAUGGCAGACAAUAUCUUCUGCCACAAAGUCGAGAAGGAACAAAAACAAUUAAACCGGAAUAUGGGACCCAAAAACCCAAAACCCAAAAAAAAAAAAAAAAACACUUGGCUUUUGGCUCUCUCUAGGAAAAUGGCAGCUAAGAUUUUUUGAAUAUUUAACAAGAGGGAGAGGGAUGCUAGUCUACUAUAUAUGCAGGCAAUGCACUGUGAAAUUCUGCAAGAAGAAUGAAAGGUUGUACUGCCAACUAGGAUCAGGAACUCGCCCCCAAAAAGAAAAUCAGGAAAAUAAAAAAAAUUAUUCAAUUUGUCAAUUUCAAAAAAUUAUUAUUAUUUAAAUCAAAAUCAGACCAAUUUUAUUUUUAAUUUAACUUAUAGUUAAAAGUUAAUUUUUUUAAUACUAUUUAUAUUAUAAAAAAAUAUUCUUUAAUAUUAAACAUGAUUUUGAUCCGAAAUACAAUUCAUUUUCAAAAUUAAUUUUAGUCUAACCAUUAUCAUCGUUUAUCAAAAUAUAUAUAAUUCAUAUUUCAUAAAAAAAAUCAUAAAAUAAAUCUAAGUAUAAUAUUAAAUGAUAGUGUUAAAAGGUUGUCAGUAUUUCAUUUUUUUCAUAUUUUAAUUUUUUUUAAAAUUUAUAUAAAUGUUUAUAUUAUUUGUUUUCAUGAUAUAAUAUAAAUUUAUUUUUGAAAAUGCAGGCAGAUAGAGAUGUGAUAGUUGUGAAUGGGUGGGUGGGUCAGAUUGCAUGUGGACAAAAUAAUGUGCUCGGUCCGAUGGUUUCUCCCAUGACCAUGUGGAGUCUGUCGCGGAAGAAAAAAAAAGUGCAUUUUAUGUACUGGAUAAAAAUAAUUCAUUCAUAUAAAUCCCACCUUUCUUGAAUCAUUCUCUUCCACCCCCUCCCCCUUUAACUUCGAUUCCCUACUUAGAUUUUGAUCCUUCAAUCAUUGAGAUUAAUUAAUAACAAAUAUAAAUUAAAGUUAUUAUUUAUUAUCAUUUUGACCGUCCAAGCCACCUAUUGCACCCAAAUUUCCAUACUAAAAACCAAUCAAAUCCAGAGAAAUUUUUGUUUGAAAUAGAGGCCACACAUCAUUUUAUAUCCUUCUCUAUUUAUUUAAUUAUAUUUUAGUUUUUUUUUCAUGUUAUUAAUUCAUAAUUUUAGUAAUCCUUUUGAAUUUGAAUUUUAGAAUCCUGAAUCCCGAACCUUAGAUUCUAAACUUGAUUUUUAAACUUGACCUUUUAAUUUAGGGUUUAGGGUUAUAAUUCAAAAUUAGAGUUUAAUGUUUGAAGUUUGAGAUUUGAAUUCAGAGUUUAAUUUUGGGAUUUAAGAUUUAGAUCCAGAGUCAAUGUUCAAAUUAAAAAAUUUACGAAUCGAUAACCUAAAAAAUAUAACUGAAAUGUUAUUAAAUAAUUAAAAAGUAAUAUAAAAUCACGUAUGCGUACAAUCAUUUCUCAAAUCACAUAACAAUAUUUAUAUUUCACCCAAAAGAAAUGCAUCAAAUCAAAUCCCAUUAGCUACACAUCUCAUCCAUCCCCGAUAAAAACUUUGCAAAUUAUCCCAAUUAGUAGGUUAAUUAAAUUACGGAUAAAAUUAGUAGGAGAAUUGAAAUAUAGCAUGUGACAAGAUUGCUGGUAGAUAGACAAUCAUUUAAUGUGAGUUUUGUCAACUUGGAAUGAAUGCGAGGAAUGAUCUGUCAAAACCUAGGAGUACCUAACAAAAUGGACUGCCUCCCUCAAUCUCUCCAUAAUAUACAGUACAAUUUCGUCAUCAUUUUCCUAUAAUUAGCACUUAAUUAUAUAUUUAUAGGGAUAAAAAUAGUUCCACAACUAUAGGCGCAUGGCAUAAUGGCACCAUCCCUUCCCCUUUUUUUACGACAAGGAUGUGUGAAUUCCUUCUUUCACAGCACCAGGAUAAACAUAAUUAUAAUUUUAAAUAUAAUUAUACAGGUUUAGGGGAAGCAAGUGAUAUGGCUUAGUUGCUGUAAUUGGUCCUUCUUGCCUGUCUUAUGAAAUGUAGCUAUCCUUCAUGUGAUUCGCUCACAUGAUGCAUGUGUUUUUGUAUCCCUUUUUAUGUAUCCAUUACCCAUCUCUUUUUUUUUUAUAUAUAUAUUUCUUCUUCUUAAUUGCAUACUAUGAUUAUGCAAGCAAUACCACUUCCCAAUGUUUGCUGUUCAUUAAUAAAUCUUAUAUUUGACUAUAAAAAACAAAGCCUAAAUUGAAUUUGAAAUGAUUUUUUUAAAAAUUUAUGGAUUUAUAGAAUGCUUAUUUAAUAGUGAAUUUAAAAUAUUGGGGUAUGGAUUGCAGGCUUCACAAGAAAUAUUGGGAGUUGCUCGGUGUUCAUGAUUGAACUCUGGGGUAUCCUCAAUGGGCUCCAAAUAGCGUAGAGUCUCGGACUGAAGAAAGUGGUGCUUGAGACAGACAGUAAGGAAGCUAUUCAAGUAAUUUAAGAAUCUGGAAAUGAGCAGUAUGGUUCUUCUGUGAUCCAUAACAUCAAAUAGCAUCUCCAACGUGAUUGGACAAUUCAUUUAAUACAUGUUUUUAAAGAAGGCAACAAGGUAGCGGGUGGUUUGGCAAAAAUGGCAUUAUCGAGAGCUUUGGGCAAGGUUACAUUCAUGCAAUCUCAUAAAAUCCUUCAAUCUCUACAUAAUGAUCUAUCUAAUGCAAUAUGGUCUCGUUUUAUAUUGAUUGGAGUUAAUCUCUCUUUUGGAUAAAAAAUAGUGAAUUUAAAUUUCAUUGUCAAAAAUUAUUUCAGAUUUUUAAUUUUAUAAAACUCUAUAAUAUAUAUUUAGCUUAAUUUUGUAAAAAAAUAUAUAUAUAAUUCAAAAUAUUAUACCAAACCCCUCCCUUAUACCAUUCUUAAAUAUUGCUGUCAUUAAAAAAAGUUUAUACAGCCACUAAGCUGAUAAAUAAAAAUAUUGAAGAAGAUGAAAAGGGAGGGUUGAUGCUGACAUUUUAAGCUGUUUCAUAGUUUGAGCAUUAAACAAGGGAAGGGUUAGGGUUAGGGUUUACUUUUUCAACAGUUUUAAAUCGGUUCAUUCCCAAUUAUAUAUUUAAAAAAAAAAUUGGAUUUCUAACCUUUCCAAUAAUUUCUUCCUUUAUUCUCAAACCAUGUAUUUAAAAAGGGAGGUGGGUCCAUGCAUGCAUGCUCCCAUUUGAAGGUGUUUUAACUUUUCAUAAAAGGAGGCCUCGGUAGUGUGAACCUUAAACAAAGGGGGGGGGGGGAGGGGGAGAGAGAGUUUAGGGUUUAUUUGUGAUGGUGGAAGUUAAGUCAAGAUUCCAUCUUAUCCCCCUUUUUUCUUCAUCGAUCAUGUGCAUCAAAGAUAAGCUUUUGAUUACAGAUCUAACCAGAUUUGAAUGUACGAACCCCAAUAAUCUGAUUUUUCAAACUUUAUAUACAAAUAUAUACAUACUUUCUUCCCAGCUUCCUAUAUGCUUAUGCUUAAUUAAGGAAGAACAUGUCCAUCUUUUGUGAGAAUGAAUUACCACCCAAGAAAACGUAAAUUGACCUACUUCAAAUAUUGUGUGGUCCUACAGAUUAGAUACAGUGUAAAAUAAAUAUAACCCGAUGCUUAUUUUGGUGGUGUUAAAAUGUGUGUUUAUGGGAAAAUGUGCUGUAUUUAUUUGCUUACCAUAUCUUGAUGAAUCAGAUAGUGGUUGGGAAAUCAGAUAUUUUCCCAACUGAACAAUCUGCAGAAGCAUCCAAUGGCUCCUUCUUCACUUCAUGGAAUCUUUGAAUAUUCUUAUUUGAUUAUACUAAUUACCAUAUGAUUACGAAACUCUAAUCUUUCAGUCUAAGAGAAACGAAGAAAAAUCACUACCGUAUUUCUCAUUGAAAUUGGGCAUCAUAACAGUACUGUAAUUCUUGUAAAUCAUGACCUUUUAUAUUGUUGGGGUGUAGGUGAAUUUUAGAUACGAUUCGGGUGUUCAAACGGUCGAUUCAGUUAUUAAUCGAAUUACCCGAAAUGUAAAAAUUUUUAACCGUUAACCGAACUAAAUUUGUUUUCAAAUACAUUAACCGAACCGAAAUAACCAAAAUUUAUAUAUUUUUGUCUUUUGGUUAAAAUAAGUAUAAAACAUAUAAAAAAAUACAUGGCUAAUGUUCAUUUUUUUAAUAGUUCAAAAAAUAUAAUAUAUAUUAUUUAUUUCGAUUAAUAUAAAAAAUUAUUAACCGAUCUUCGAUUGAACUAUAAAUUCGGCGAUCAACUGAUUAACCGAAUUAAAUCAGUUCGACCGGUUAAUUUUAUUUUAACCGAACUAUAAACAGUACCUUAAUGAUCCAUAUAUUUAAUACACAUAUUUUAAAUUUUUUCAAAAGAUUAUAUUCACCUUAAAAUGUGAAAUCAAAUAUAAAAUGUCAAACAUAAAUAUUAUAAUUAAUUGUAAAAAAAGAAGUGCAGUAAUCUGGAUUACUAUAAGAUGUGUGGUGGCAGGGAAUGGGCAAUGGACCGACCUCAAAAGCUUUAAAAGUCAAUGCCAGUGCCUGCUUUGAUGACAUAAAAGUCAUGAAAAUGCACCUUUACUCACUUCAUAGUUCAUAUAUAUAUAGGUUGUCAAGGCUUGAAAAAUGAAUUUAAUUUGAUACAUCAGUAGUAAAAUCUUUUUAUUUUAUUAGAAAAAAUCAUUACAUAUUUUUAUUUGACAAGCUUUAUAAUUUUUAAAAAUAUAUAAUGUGUUAAUUAACUCAAAAAUUAUAAUCGGUUUUAGGUGGAUGUUUGAUCAUUUAAAAUCUGCCAACAAUUUUUUUAUUUAUAAUUUUGUUGUUUUAUCUUUUUCAUAUUUGUGUUCUAAAAACAUAUUUUAUCUUCGGUUUUUAGUUAUAUUUAUUAUUAAAAAAUAUAAAAUUAUCAGAAAAUUUUAAGAGAGAAACAUUUUAUGAAUAAAACCUGAAAAUUUUCUAAAAUAUCAAGUUUUUUUGUAUUGUUAUUUUUUUUAUAUUAUAAAAAAUAUUUAAAUACCAAAAAAGCACAUCCAUAUGCUACAAUGAUUUUUGGGAAAACUAAAAAGUCAUUAAUUCACCUAAAUAUUGUUUUUGAAAAAAAAAACCUUAAAAUAAAAUUUCCACUGCAGAUGAUUUUUUUUAUAUAUAACAAAAGACUCCCACAUAUAUACGACAUCUGCCCAUUUUUUUUCCUUCUUUUUUUUUUUUUUUUUGAUAUGAGAACACUAGGGGUAAAUAUCAAUUUCAAGCCUUCUACUUUUUAAAUUAUAAAAAUAAUUAAAUUUUAAUUUGAUCCCUAUAUUUCACUUAAGUUUGAGAUUUAAUCUAUAUAUUUUAAUUUUAAUAUAAUUUGAUACUUCAACUUUUAUAAAAACAUUAGUUGGUUUAAAUAUUUUAUUUUAAUUAAAAUGAUAAUAUGAGUUUUAAUUAAAAUUCUUUAUUAGACUGAAGUCCGUUAUAAUAAUUUUUCUUUGUCACGUGAAAACCAAAAUUUAUUUUAUUUUUUUCUCAAACUGCCACAGAAAUUGAAAAACAAAAUAGAAAAUGCAGCACCGUAAGGCACAGUACACUUACUCCAUACUCGUGCCUAAAUGUGUCCGCCAAAAAUCUCACAUGAAAAAACAAAUACAAAAAAGGGGCAACAUAGGCUGAGUAUAUGAAUAAAUUAUGGUCAAACUACAUGGAACAUUUUCGAAAAAGCAAUUCCCUAAUAAGAAAGGAUUGCUCGACAAAAAUUUAUUAAACCCGAAGCUUAGUUUAGUUGGUUCAUAUAAUCAAAUUAGGAGCUCGAGCCUAGCAUCAACUAUCCUUCUUCCACUAUCAAAAUAAUAAUAAAAAUAAAUCAUCCUUAGACCUUUACUAAAAUCUUGUCUCCUGUAAUUUGGUUAGGCUAAGUCUUGUUUCGAUUAAUAUAAUCAAAACUAGAUGUUAACCUGUAGUAGUUGCUAAUGAACACAAGUAUCGAUAACCCGGCUGUAGAAGCCCCAGUCAUGGCUGCUUUCAGUGAUAGCUAUCUGGCCAAAUGGGUUUAGCUCUAAAAAUUUCUGUACAUUCUCUGCUAAAGCUAAUCUUUCCAAAUAAACUCUAAGCUCACCUCCGACACCUGAAAGAAAUAAAACCAACUUACAAACUUGCAGGCUAACACGACAGUCAACAGAAUAAAAACCAUACAUACAAACUUCAGCAACGAACAAGGAGAUAAACAGGAGUUAUUAACCUACGGAACUUAAUAGUGUUAUAAAUGAUUUCAGAAGUCAUCUUACCCAAUGAAUCAUCGUCCAUGUCGAACUUGAAUGGAUGAGGAAAUAUUGCAGUACCCAACUACAAGAUCAAAUAUUAACGGAAAACGGAGAACGUUAAUCAGGACCUACUCAAAAGGAUAAUGGAAAAUAUUAGGGACAAACAGCAAAUAAGAUAAGCCUAUUUACUUACGGGAUUAAGCAGUGCUUUGUAAGGAGAAUCAUCUAUCAACAAUGUAUUUGAUUCAUUAUAAUAUCCCUUCUCCCAUGGAAGAUUAGGAUCGCUUUUUCUCCAAAGCUUCCUCAACUCUUUGAAAACUAAGGGCUUAUAUCUAUUCCCCAGAGUUUUGAAUCGUGUUGUGGUGCAGUAAGAUGAAUCCUGAUAAAUCAUUGCGCAUAAAGCAAGUGGCUCAGAGUUGGAACUCUUCUAGUUUAAUUGCAUAUGAAAACAAAGAUGACCUGAAAACAUACGGGGGACAGACGCGCACCAAAAGACAAAAACUUGUACAGCAAAGCAAGUUUAACAGAAAGCAAAAGGAAACAAGUUAUAAUUACCCAACAAAAAAGCAAUUUUUGUUUCAUAUCUCCCAUCAAAAAGUCUACAACUCUUUCCAACUUUCUCCUGUGAAACAUAAUUGAUCCAGCAAUUAACAGUAAUAUAUCAAUGUUCAACCACAACAAAAAUGGCAAUCGAUUGUUUGUUUCUUAUUGAAAAAAUACCUGUUUCUUGAAGACCAGAUACCAACUUCAAACUUCUCAAAACAAAACCUUAAAAAGUCAUCGCAGAAGGGUCUCUUAAAAACUGAACAAAGAAAGAAACUCCCAAUUAGCUUUUAAAAUAGUAUGUAAAUGAAAAGGCAUUAACACGAGCAAAUAAAUUUUUUGAGAUCAGGUUUCUUACUUGCCCGUCCUGCAAUGUAUGCAUCUGCUUUGUAAUUCUUUGGAGAACGAUAGAUUAUAUCAGCAAGUAAUCCAUUCACAUCAAGAACAAGAAGUUUUUUCCUCAAUUGACUAACAGGAGUCUUAACAAUAGUAAGAGAAACAUCAUUUGUCUCAUUCGCAUAAACGGAAUCACCAAUUUCUUCACUGUUUCUUCCAUCCAAUAAAGUUAGAGUCGAGAUACUAUUUACAAGACCACUCUUGGCAAGAACAAUUUCCUCAGAAAGCUUAUCAGUUUGACAUUUACCACCAACGUCUGAGGAACCAGGUUGCUGCUUUUCCAUCCUUUUCCUAAACUCGGUUUUCUUUUCUAUAAAAUGAUCGUACUUCCACAGAAAUUCAGGCUAUCUGUAAAAUUCUGAUAAAAAGAAGGAAACUUAGUUAUUAGCAUAACAUAGCCAUUGUAUGUUACAUACAAAAUUUAAGCUCGGCGCUAUCUGUUAACUGUUGAAACUAAAACUUCUUCUCCAUCAUCAGAUCAAUCAAUCAAAGCAAUGGAUCAGACAACUAGGGGUCCCUAAACUCAUAUCAGAGCACGGAUGCUUCAAGAAAAAUGGAAGUCUAGAAAACGUAGUUGGGAACAAUCUCCAACAAGCAUCAUAGUUUUCUCUUUUAUGAACCCACAAAACCUAUCAAAUAACAUCAUAGUUCCACUAUCAAAUUCCAUUUUUAACUAUACUUUUUUAUUGAUGAUACUUGUAUUAUAAGUCAGUGGAGCCUAAAAACUUGAGAAACCAUUUUUACACCUUGUCGAUUGUCCAACUACGUUAACUUGAAAAUGAUUAAAAGUUUGAUUCCUUAACCGACAUCGAAAACAUGGCAAAUCCAUAAAUCUGCUAACAAAGUUCUACACUCCACAGCUCUAAUGCAAAACAUAGAAUUUAAAGCUUACAGCCAUAUAAAAAAGCUUCAAAAAGAUUGGAAACAAAAAUAAUAAACAACAACCAGAACGGAAUUUUCACAGGCUACAAAGAAACAAACAAGCAAAUUAGCAUAUUUUAAAUGUCUAUUUGAUUAUAAAAAUGAAUUUAAACCGAAGAAGGUUAAAAAAAAAAAAAAAGAAACCCAAAAAUUUUAUGAAAUCAAACAAGGAAAGAGAUGAAGAGAUAAUUAAGCUCUAAUUAAAAGAAAAUUACCAUCAAAUUGAACUCUAGUUACGCAGCAAAAGAAAAAAGGGCGAGGGAGAAACGACCUUUGGGGUAUAAUUGUUGACGUCAGAGAUGGUUUUACUUCGUACAGAAGACAAGAAUCUUAAACGACAUCUUAUAAAUCGUUCUUUUGCUUGCCAGAUACAGUAGGAUUGGUUUCUCCUAAUUUUUGUCUAAAAGGGGUUUGUUGUGGAUUUAAUUGGGCUGGGUUCUUGAAUUCCAAUGCAACAAUAAAAUUUGCUUUUCCUUGACUGCCGACCUAUGAAUAGACUUGCCUAAGGUCAAGUCGGCCCGUCUGAAAAGUUGAUAAAAAUAUAACUUUAAAAAAUGAGUUUAGUAAAAAAUAAGGUCUAUUUUUUAAAUUGGUCUGGUCUCGAGUAAAAUGUUUUACCCGUCCGAAUUUGUAAAAAUAAAAAUUGUUAUCUUUUACUAUUUUAUCACUGUUUUUUCAUUAUUUUGUUAUCAUUUCGUUAUUGUUUUGUUGUUAUUAUUCGGAUAUUAUAUAACUCUUGUUUUAUUAUUAAUUUUGCUACUAUUGCAGAGGUAUUUGCUUGUUAAGUUACACUUAUCUUAAUGUUAUUUAACUCUUUUUUUAUUUGUUGGAAAAUAUUUAUUUUAAUAUUUUUAGUGUAUUUGAGGUAUUGUAUUUUUAAAUUUAUUUUUAUAUAAAAAUAAUAAUAUAAAAAAGUCCAAUAUGGGCAAACUGAGUUGGACUUGAGUUUUAACAUUUUUUGUCCAGAUUAGACUUGGAUAAAAUAUUAAGUCUAUUUUUCUGCAAACUGAGUUGGACUUGAGUUUUAACAUUUUUUGUCCAGAUUAGACUUGGAUAAAAUAUUAAGUCUAUUUUACUAAGUCUAAAUCUAGAAAACGAACCUAAAUUUUUUACUUAAUCUAAUUCGACUCAUAAACAACUCUAUCUAUAAACCUAAGACAAGUUCUUUUGGGCCAAAGUCAAAUCUUUAUUAUUGUAUAUUUAUUAAGGAGGAAUUGAGGAUUUAUCUACUUUUGCAAUUAUUCUUUUAUCGAAAUUUAUAUAAUAGUUAUUAAAAAUUUUAUAUUAUAGUUUCCUUUUCACUGGUUGAUCAACAAAAUUUUUAAUAUUCCAAACGAAAAAAAGAAAAACCAUAUAUCUUGCUUCAUUUUUGUUUUACUUUUUUCUUAAAUCUACUUUUUUUUAAUUUCUAUUAAUUUUUUUAUUUAGUUUGGCUGUGUAUGUGUUCCAUAACCUAAUAUUUUUAUUAAACAUGAAAUUUGUCCACAAAAUCAUAAAAAUUGGAUCAACCAAUUUUUUCCAGUUUGAUUCACGGUUCAAUAAUAAUUUAAAGUGAUUCACGCGAUUCAAACGAUUCAAUUACUACUUUUGGACUAAUAUACUAGUUGAUUCUCGAUUCAAUUAAUUUGAUUUAUCGAUUUGAUCUAAUUUAAACAACUUUGCAAAUAAUUUAGAAACUUAAAAGGGAGGAUAAACAUAUAAACUCAAGGGGUCAGCUUUAAGGUUUCUAGUGCAUUUCUUUGAACACAAAAUAGGUUAGAAAGUUGCUGCAAUUUUUGGAAAACAAUGUCAGUUGAUAUAAGAAAAAAAAAAAAAAAGAGGUGAAAAAGAUGAUCCAAACCAAGAGAAGAAGGGACUGGAUUGAAGACAAGGUAGGAAAACAAAACGAAACUCUAAAGGACACGUGGAAAAGAUGAGAUUCAUUGCUUAAGAAAGAAAAAGCAAUAACUUUGCAAGGGGAGAGGCAAGGGCAUUCCCCCCCCCGCCCUCUUUAUACAAUUACUAUUUAUACAUCAAACUUUGAAAUUAAGGAUAAUACGAGUUUAAGUAUAUUUAAAUUUAAUUUCUUUUAAGUAUUGCAACAAUAAUAGUUUCAAUUAAGCUAAGACUUAAGUGAUACUUAAAUUCACAUUCUUUUGAAUAUUGCAAUAACAACCAUGCUAAUUAAGUCGAAAUUUAAUUGAUACAUGGUCCAUUCUUGAAUAGAACUCAAAAUAUUAAUAAUUAUUUAAGAAUAAAAAUAUCUUUUAGUAUUUAUUAAAAAAUAAUAACUUAAUUUAAAUUUAUUUAAUACUAAAAUUUUAAGUUCCGAUUUUCAAAAUUUUAUAAAUUUGCCUCCGCAUCUAGUGCAAAAUGGUAACGCGAGGCAAGGCCCUUAAUGCAUCCAAAAAUCCUAAAAAGUUUUGAUGGUUUUUUUUUAAAUAAGAAUAUAAUGUAUUUCAAUAUUUUUAACAAUAAUAAUCAUACCAAUUAAAUUAAGACUUAAUCGACCGCUCUUAAUUUUAUUUUUAAAAUUCUUAGUAACUCUCUAAACUUUUUUAAAAUAUUCAUCUCCCGCAGCUCUAUUUGAUGUACACCUCCACAUUUUUCUCCUCUAAUAGCUUUCCCUUUACAUCUUCUGCUAGCUAUAACCUUAGUGUUACGUUAGGUGCGUUUCAUUGCGCCCAAAUCACUGUUAUUUUGAUGAUUCCUUUACAUUAAAAAAAUACAACUUAACGAAUAAUAAAAGUGCCACGUGCCCCAAAUGAUCAUAGUUUGAGAAUAACAUAUGGUCAUGACCUUGCAUUAAUUGAACUGCAAGAGUUUGGACCACAUAUCAAAUGAUGACUUGGUUAGCCACUGUGGAUUCUAUUCCUCCUCCCUUACAUUUCACAUAAUAUUUUUUUGUGGUAUAAUUUUUAAAAAUCAAUAAAGGCGUAUCAACAUCAGAUAUCUAUAAAAUUAGAUGCGAAUGAGGGAGUUUUGCAGGUGAGUUAAGUUAGUAGGAUCAUGUGCACAUCAUGUUGGCCAUGAUUAUUACAAACUCAUGCUCUCUUUUCAUUUCAUUUAAUAAAUUAUACUCCACUUUUUGCCUCUCACCAUCACAUAAAGAUGUUCUCUUGGAAUAAAUGGAAACCACAUGCUUUUUUAUCACAUCAUAUUUACCACCUGCAUGACGUUUGAAAGAUGUUUAGAACCGCUCAUUUUCAAGUGAGUUUAUCUUUAAUUUUCUUUUAAUAUGUAAUCAACUUAGUUUAUAAUUUAACCCAAAACCUAAGAAAUGCAACCAUCUUAAUUAAAAAUUCUUCCAAGAUAAUUGCUUUUUCAUGCAUCAACCGGGAAACAUAAAUAACAUUACUUCAUUAAAUUUAUCGUUUUCAUACAAUGUAUAAUUAAAAUUAUUAUUAGUCAGAUCUUACCUCGAUUAGUAUAGGUAUUGUUAUCAAUAUAGAAGGACGUGAGUUCAAGUACAUUGAAACAUAUUAUCCUCUUAUUUAUAAGUUGAAAGGGGUUAUGGAUAAUUUUAAGCAUUAAGCAACAUUAUAAUCAUUCAACACUAAGCACAAGUCUUUAAGAACAACCAUUUGCUUCAAUCUUGAAUACUAUAUUCUUACCGAGCCUCGUAUAAUUAAAAUAAUAGUUAAUAUACGUAUAAUUUAAAAAAAAUUCAUCAACAUAAUACAAAUAAGAUAAAUAUGUCAAAAAAUUUAUAAAAAUAUACAACUAUUAAAUACUUGUGAUGAAAAUAGAAACACGAAAUCACAAAUUACCAAAAUCAACACAAACUUGACAACAAGACAAUGGCAUAUCAAUGGGCAUUAAAUUGGGUAUACCACAAAAGUCAAGCCAUUAAAAAAAGCUUCAAAAAACAGGAGCCUCCAACCAGCUUUGACACCAUCUUCACAAGACUUGAGAGAGAGUCCUAGAAAGCUACAUGAUUUUUUUUUUUUUCACUUUUUCUUUUCUUUAUUUAUUUAGUUAUUCACUUUGGAAGCAACUUGGAAGUUUACUUUUAUCAAGUACCUGCAUUUGCAUGAGCACGAAUCAAUUGGAUAAUAUGUAUUCUUUAAGUUUGUAAAGUAUAAUAUCAAUUUAAUUUUUAAUAUUUAUAUUUUUAUUAAUUUACUUUUUAAUAUUAAAUAUUUAUAUAGGCUGCAAAUAUGAGUUAAAAUCCUGAAGCAUACGAAGAAACAAAGGAUUAAUGGCUGCUAUUUGAAGUUUUCUUUAGAAUAAAAAAAGCAAUUAAAGAAAAAAUGCUUAAGCGGAAUCGUGAUUAAACUGACAUCAAAGUUAUAUUCUGCGAAACUAGGGCGUUGACAGGGAUAAAAAAAAAUUCAUUUCUUAUUUAGUGUAAAACAAAUCUUAAUUAAACUAACUACCUAAAGUUCUAAAAAUAAUUAAUCCUAUCAUUCUAAUACUUGCCUAAACCUCAUUCUCUAAACUAUUACCUCUACAUGUUUUUAAACUGUGUGCCUAACUCACUGAAAUCUUAAUAGUUUCUAUAAAAUUCCACACAAAGAAAUUUUUAUUUUUCCAAACACGCCAUGCUAACAAACCAAGAAGAAUCGACCAAGGCACCCCAAUCCCUUCUAUCCGUCCAGGAUUCUCUGGAUUUGCUUUGACUCAAUUGGAGAGACAUUAGGAAAAAAAAAACUGCGACUAACAAUCCUUUGGCACAAAGUAUUUCCUCAUUUUGACUAUUUAAAUUUUUUAAAAUUUUAAAUCAGUCUCUUCUAUAAAUAUAAAAAUUUGAUUUAAAUUUUUUUUAAAUUAUAAAGAUAUGGGCUAUUAAAAUAAUAAAAUUAUAUUUUUGCUAUCGUAAAAAUUACAAUUUAAUUUCGGCCCCUUCUAAAACGAAUUUCUGAUUUCGCCCCUGUUGUAAGUAUGAGAAUUUGAGUUCGAUCCCAAACAACUUUAUUUCCUUCUUUAAUUAUAUAUAUAUAUAUAUAUAUAUAUAUAUAAAAACAUUGGACCAUAUUAAAAAUAAUACUAAAUAAUUACUAAAACGUGAUAUAAAAAUUAAUACAUGAAUUUUUAAAAAAAAUUAUAAAUUACAAAUCAUUAUUAUCAUAAUCAUCGUCAAUAUUCAUCAUGAUCUAAAAAGAAGUCUAAAAGUUACAACCAUUUAAUUCCACAUCAUUCGCACGUUAUUUGACCAAUAAAUAAGACAUUUUUUUGUUUGGAAAUUUCCAACAACAUAAUUAUUCCAAUUAUGCCAUACAUUUUGUUGUCUUCUAGCUUUUAUUCAUUGUAGUUUGAACAAAUUUUUAUUUUUCCUUUUGAAGAUUUUAAGUUAAAUAAAAAUUUCGAAAUUUUGUGGUUAAAUAAUUUCCUACAUUAUUAUUUUUUAUGAGGUUACACUAAAGAAUAAAAAAAUUAAAAGGAUAAGUUUUUUCUUUUUUUAUAUUAAGUAGAAAAAUUUUACGUAAAAAAUUACUUGCGGUUAGUUCUUACAAAGCGAAUCCGUUCUUGUUUUCACUUUUUGGCCCAAUGUUUUUUCAAUACAAUUUCCUAUUAUUUCCAUUACCGCCGAAUCUUUGUUCGUGAAUGUUAAUACGCGUUUAAGAAAAGAGGACUUUGGUAAUUGCCUGAAUGUUAAUUGCAUUAGUUAAUUUUAUUUAUUGAUUUUAUUAACGAUUUAUUUAAAAGUGUUUAGUAAAGUUUAGUCAAUAACUAAAAGCUGAUACGUGUAAAAUAAUAAAUAAGCGCAUGGCACAUUUUAUUGUUAAGUAUUUAUUUGUUUAUAAUACUUUAAUUUUUAUUGGAUGAAAUUAUUGAAAUAAACACUAUUAUUCAAUAAUUAAAAUAUCAAUUAUGAAAAUUAAAUUAGUGAAUAUUUUUGAAGAUUUAAAUAAAAAAAUUUCUUAAGUUACUUAUUUACAAAUAUUAACCUUGUGAAAACUGAUAAAUGUUAAUAGUGUAUCAAUAUAAUUGUAAACUAUAUCUCUAGUGAUAAUUAUGUCAUGUUGUUAGUAUAUAAAUUAGUGAUAAUUAUGUCACACUCUAAAUAAAUUUGUCAAGCAGCAUAUUUCAAUUAAUAUAAAGCUGGAUAAAAAAUUAUUUUACACAAGUAAAUUGAAAAUAAAUUAAGAGUCCAUAAAUAUUUAAGGGUGAAUGAGCUCAAUUGAAAAUUUCUCACGGCAAUUUUGAUUUUUGUAGAUUCAUGGUGAAUUUUUUUUUGAGAUUUACUUUAGAAAUUAGAGGUGAAAAUGCAAAUAGGAGAAUGAAGACUAUUGAUAUCUUGACACCUCUAUUAGGUUUGAGAGCAUGUGACAAAAGGAGUAACUUUUGCACAAAUAUGGUUAAAUAUGUCAUUCCACAUAUCUCAUUUCCAUUCAACAAUUGAAAAAAGUUGCCCAUCCCAACAUUUUUUUGUUUGAAACUUUUUGCUCAACAAACUCUUAUAAAUAUCCAUUCACCAAACAUUACAAUUAGAGAAUUUGAUUACCCAAUCCUCUAUUUGUGCUCAAAUCAACUAAAAAAUGUUCAAAUUUCUAUUUACCAAACAUUACAUGAUAUUUCAUCGUGAAUAAUUACCCUAAUAUAAAAUAUCUUUUAAUGCACUGAAAAUUAUAGCAUCAAUAUAUUCCUGUUGAUAAAAAUAUAAAAUAUUAAUAUCUAUUUUUAAUUUAAAAAAAUCUUUAAAAAGUUCCUAUCAUAUUUUAAUAGAACAACAUAUUUUUAAUUUUUUUAAUAAAAAAUUAAAGUGAAUAGAAAUUGGUGUCACUUUCUGUUUGGAAGGAGGGAAAAAGUUGCCCCGUGAGAUAAAAGACGUGGACAACUUUGCAAAUCAGACAUGCUUUAAAAAAUAUAUCUUUUUUCUCUGAACGAAUGUGGUUACAGUGAUAGGUUUUUAAUUGGGUAUUUAUUCUCAUAUAUAUUAAAAAACGAGUAUCUUAUUUUGCAGUUAUUUUUAAAAAAUUAAAGUAAAUAUUUUUAAGAAUGAAAAGGCAGAAAUAUUUUUAAUGUAAUUUUAUAUUUAUAAUUUCAGUUUAAUUAUUAUGUAGUAUUAAAGUAAUUAUGCGCUCAUAAUUUUCUCCUAACUUUGACUUAAAUAGUUAAAUGGCUUUUUUUAUUAAUUUCCAAUAAUUAAAUAUAACUGAGAAAAAUAAUAUUCAUAUUUAAUGAAAAAACGUAAUAUUCAUAAAUAUAUUAAUGAAUCAUAAAAAGAUGUCAAUAAGCUAACAAUUUGAAAAAGUGCUGGAUUCUUAAUUCUAAAAAUAUAAAAAUAAAUCUCAAUAAUUUUUUUUUCCUAAUUUAUGCAAGUAAAAUGUAAAGUUAGGCAAUUUAGUACAAAGUAAAUAAUUUAGGGCUAGCAUUUGGAAAAAGCACAAAAGUCAAAAAAAAUUCAUUGACUCUCCAACUCGCACCACCCAACAGCCGUCAGCCACCAACGCCGCUCCUUCUACGUAGAUAAAACUGUAUAUUUAUACGUAUACAAAUGCAUAGAUACAAACUUAUAUAUAAAGUUUCUCUCUCUCUCUGCCUUUUUCUAGUUCUUUACCUUUCAUGCAGUCGAGAAAAUGGGAAACUGCUUUGCUCGUAAAACAGUAACGAAACGACCGGUCACGAAAAGGUUGCAGAACCAGCAAAAAGGACCCAAUUCCAGCAACCGGUGGGCUAGGGUCCGAUCGUCGAGGAAAGACAAGCUUGAUGAUUCUCUGCUUCAAGAGCAGGCUUUAGCAGCUGCGAUCUUGUUCAGGCAACAUCAACAGCAAAACGGGGGAGCUUCAUUGCCGUUUGACAGGUCGGCUUCGUUGAGGUACCCGAAUUCUUCUUCCGGGUCUAAGAAAGCUGGUCAGUUGCCUCGGAGCUCCAGUUCCAGAGCGAGGUCCCUUACUGACCCGCUUUUGCAACCUCAUCAGCUUGUUAAUCAGGUUUGUGUUAUUUUUUGUUCUUUAAUUAUGGUUUUUGGUAUUUUUCAGGUAAUUUAUUGGGUAAAAGUUUUUUUUUUGGGGGGGGGGGUUGUGGGGGUUAAUUAUUGCGGGGUAUUGGGUUUUAAUUUUCUAUUUUUAUUAUGGGUUAUUUAAUUAUUUUUUAUAAUUUUAUAACUUCAAAUUAUGGGAAGUACGAUGGAAUUAUGAUCAAAUUUUUUUAUUGGUUACUUAUGGUAUUUAAAUUAUUUUUUAUUUUUAGUCGGAUGGCUGUUAAUUUGGCAAUAUAUCGGCAUUCGAUGAAAGUGGAGUUUUCAUGUCAUUGGAGUUCUGGAAAAUUGAGUUGGCUAUUUGAGAACUUGAUUUGGUUAUGGAAGUUUAUAGUAUUAGACUUCUCAGUCAAACCUUGCAUAUUUUUAAAAGAUCUUUUCUUUUUUUGAGCUUUGCCAAUGGUUCUUUGUUAAUUUAAAGCCUUGAUAGCUCUUUUGUGCACGAAGUGUAUGAAUUUCUAAAUGUGGGUUAAAACCAUGGAAAUCCCACCUAUUUUGAUGGUGGCAAGGGGAUGUAUUUGGCACCAGAUUCUCAAUUUGCAGAUGUCUUUUUAAGAGAUUCUUUGAUCCAUCUUUGUCUCUCACUGUGAUGGACAUUAAAGGCUUUCUGCUAUGCAGCAAUAAGCUCCAGUUGCAGGCGUUUUGGCAUAUGUAGAGUUAUCUCAGCACUCAUAAAUGCUUUUGCUUGUCAAGGAUGUUUCUGGUCUACUUAGAUGAACAAUGCUUAUUUGUUUUUUGUUUUCUUUUAACUAUAAAUGAUAAGAAUGGAGUCUUAGUGACAAUUAUUAUCAAUGCUCUUUUACUCAGUUUCUAGUGCUGCAAGUGUGAGCUAAGAAGAAAAGCUAUUUUUUUUCUUGUUUGUAAAAUUGCUAAAACGUGUGUGCUUAUGAUAGUACUUUGUCCCAGAACUGUUCAUUUAAGGGAAAGCUUCAUUAACCCUGAUUCAGCUGGAUAAGAUAAAACUAUGUUCAUAAAAUUUCUAGACAAAUUUAUCUAUUUUGUAGUGUUAUUUUGCACUGUAGUCUAUCGUCUAGCACAACACCUGUUUCUUUUAUUAUAAUUAUUUUUAUGGCCUAGCCAUAAUCGAGAAGGCCGCAUAUUUACAGGUUUUGUUUCAUUGUUUGUUCUUGGUUACCACCAUUUCAAGUCAAUUUGUAAAUUUUAUUUUAGUAACUUUGCUUGUUAAGUGUACAUUAAUCCUUUUAAAUGUCGCUUAUGAUCUUUCUCAUUUUUCUUUUUUGUGUUUGCCAGGGCAUAAAGCUUGAUAACUUGGAAACAAAUCAUUUUGUCCUUGUCCAUGGGGGAGGCUUUGGUGCUUGGUGUUGGUAUAAAACAAUUGCACUCCUAGAAGAAGGUGGUUUCAAAGCUACUGCAGUUGAUCUAACGGGUUCUGGCAUUCAUUCUUUCGACACAAAUGGCAUUACCAGUCUCCCACAAUAUGUGAAGCCAUUAACUGAUUUUCUUGAAAAACUUCCCGAAGGCGAGAAGGUUCUUUUCUAUUUCUUUCUUUACUCGUUUUAAUUUCCACGCUUAUGCUCCUUUUUCAGCUUGCUUCUUGGUCAGAAGAAAUUUUUUCUUAUGCAAAUUGAAUAUCAAGCUUGUUAAUGAAUUCAAACUUGUCCUGCUCAAUACCAAACGUUAAAUCCAGGAAGUUCCUAAAAUAGCUGUUAUAAGCCUUUUUGGGGUAUAUUAAAUUUUAUUUUAUAUUGGUUGCUAAAGCAUUGUAUUGGUGCUUGCAUAUUUCUGCUAACCAAGCUUUGUUACACAUUCUUUACAAUUUUUCAUUCUCGCUGUUACUGGAAAGUUUGACAUAGUAAGAGAUCGAUAACAGAGUCUCAUUGGUCAAAGUCUUUUAAAACUAUGCAGGUGAUCUUGGUUGGGCAUGACUUUGGUGGUGCAUGUGUAUCGUAUGCAAUGGAACUGUUUCCUUUUAAAAUUGCAAAGGCUGUUUUUGUGGCCGCAGCAAUGUUGACAAAUGGACAAAGUACUCUUGAUAUGUUCACCCAACAGGUUUGCAUUGCUUGAAUCAUUAUUUUAAUUUCUGAAUAUUUUUAUCUGCAGAUACAUACUAAUUAUGCUGGACUUGAAAAAUGCACUUCUAUAAAUUGUUUGUUUGAAGUGUCUAUAGUUUAACUUCUUCCGGAACUUACUGAUUUGCUCGAGUGUUUGCCAUUGACAUCUUGUUUCACCAUAGUGAGCCCUACUUUAUCUAAAAUUUGGCAUUAAAUUUGUUUGAAAAAUGCAUCUUUGGACAUGAGUAUGGGGACAUUAUUAAAUACUUUAAAAAAAUUGAAUAUACUCGUGUUGGACACCACACUUGAGUCCAAGUAAAGUAGCUUGUUAAUACUUUCUAUGAACAAGUAAUCUAACCAUUUGAACUUUAUGGUUUUAUGUAACUAGUGCUAAAACUUUUGCAGGCAGGUUCUAAUGAUCUAAUGCGACAGGCUCAGAUAUUUCUGUAUGCUAAUGGAAAUGACCAUCCUCCAACUGCUAUUGAUUUAGACAAGUCUUUAUUGCGGGAUUUGUUAUUCAAUCAAAGUCCUUCCAAGGUACAUCUGAACUAGUGAUUAAUGAUCUUUUUCUUAAUCAAUGCGACUUAUAUGUCUUAUAACGAGAUCAUUUAGCAUCCUUGUUAGAUAUUCUACCACACUGGCAGGCAACAAUGUGCAUGGUCCGCAUAACCACAUACAUCUCUUAUGAAUGCUUGUAAAAUUUCAUAUUUAAAUUGCAAUGUGAACACGUUAGGUAAUUAGUAGUUUGUCAUCUCCUUCUAACUUCGUUGUCUAAAUCAUUUUGAUUGAUUAAUUAAUCUUUUGAUUUUCUAUUGUUCAAAAAACUCAAUUUAUCUUCUAUGUGUGUCGAUGUGCAAAAUUACAACUGCUGAUUUUAUUCCACAUUUUGCUGGCCAGGAUGUUGCAUUAGCAUCUGUUUCAAUGAGGCCGAUCCCUUUCGCACCAGUUUUGGAGAAGCUUUCACUUUCUGACAUGAAAUACGGAUCUGUGAGGCGUUUUUAUGUAGGAACUCCUGAAGAUAAUGCCAUACCAGUGGUGCUUCAAGAGAGCAUGAUUAACUCAAGCCCACCGGAAAAAGUAUUUCGUCUAAAAGGUGCUGACCACUCACCAUUUUUCUCAAAGCCUCAAGCCUUGCACAAACUAUUUGUAGAGAUCUCGAAACUCCCUUCACCUUGAGAGAUUCUAAUUGUCGGAUGUUUCAUUGGAGUCCCCCACUAGGGCAUCAUUUGAUGAGGUAUGGGGAAGUUAUCCUCUCGAAUUUGAGUGAACAAGCAGAUGCACAUACACAUACCGUAAAAAUGGUCUUUAGUGCUCGACUGCUAGAUAGCUUAGACAUUUUGCAUCAGAGCACGGAGUAUGUUGAUAUCGCUUUCCUCAGUCCUUUUUUGUUUUUGGUUUUCCUUUCAUGAGAUAUUCAUAUUUAUGCUAGCGAAAGAUUAACACUUCAGGGUUGCACAUAAAGCAGUAUCAGCCAUUCUUUCUGUUUGUUGAACCAAUUUCUCAUGUAACAUAUGCGUCUGAGCUUAAAGAUUGUUGGAUUACUGAAAUAAAAGGUUGAUAAUUUAUUACGAGAUUGAUUAUCCGAAAUAGAAACACAUUAAAAGUAUUGUUAUUAGGAUAAUAGAUAUUAUUAAUUAGUGUUUGAUCAUUGUAGUUGCCUCAUAACAAGUGCUGUGUAGAUACCAUCCUGUGUGAGAAGCUGUUCAUGAGUGCCACUCUCUGCUAUCUGACCAUCACAAAUAACAGCUACGUUGUUCGCAUUUUUGACUGUUGACAGCCUAUGUGCUAUGAUUAGAACAGUCCUACCAUUCAUCAAUGAAUCCAUAGCUUCCUAUCAAGCACCAUCACAUAAAUUAAAUUGAUAGUGAACCAGGCCUACAGGCUGAGGCAAGCCGAAAAUGAGCCGAUCUGCCCAACCCGGAGACAGGUUUAUGAAAAGCAGCUAAGAGUCUUACCUGAACUAGGUAUUCACUCUCAGCAUCAAGAGCACUUGUGGCUUCAUCCAAAAGCAAUACACUGGGAUUCAUUAACAGUGAUCUUGCAAUUGCUAGUCUUUGUUUUUGACCUCCUGACAGCCUCAAACCCCGUUCUCCCACAACUGUUUCAUAUUUCUUAGGAAAUUUUUCAAUGAAUCCAUGGGCAUUCGCCAUUUUCUGCACCCAUCUUAUAUGCACACGAUAUUUUAAAAAAAUGAAUCAACUACUGUUUCAUUUAUCAUUGGUAAAAAGGAUUAUAGUCAUUAACUUACAGCCACAUAUUGUAUCUCAGUUUUGCCGACUUUGCCAUUGACUCCAUACCCAAUGUUCUCCUCUAUGGAACAAUUGAAAAGAACUGGUUCCUGGCUAACUAUGCUAACCUGUAUUUAGUAAAACAAGACCAACAAUAAAGGUCUGAAAAUAUAACACCUUAAAUAUAAACACGAGAAAAUGAGUGGAGUUUGUAUGGAAGGCAUACAAACAUUGAGAAAGAUCAGCAAAAAGGACUCCACCUUUCUAUGAAGAUAUUGAUGUGAUAUUUCCAGUAAAGAAACCCCAUUUAACAAAAUCUUUCCCUUGAGAGGAUCGUAAAACCUUUCGAUUAAGUUUGCUAUUGUCGUCUGCAACAGAUUGGAGAUUCAGCUUUCAGUAAUUUGUUAGUCCAAGAAGUGUCAACGAAGGGAAAGGGGAUGGCAAUAUUUACUUUUCCACCACCACUGGGUCCAACAAGGGCAACUUUUGAGCCAGGCUUCAGUUUCAUAGUUAUUCCCUGCAGUUCCAUUCAGAUUUUACAUUAUCUAGUGAAUGUAUGCAUUGUUGUUACUUAAAUAUAGUAAAUCUAUUAUUAUCAGUUAAAAGCUUGAUAAUUGGUACUUCAAUUCAAUACAACAUCAGAUCUUUCUAGCUCGAAUAGUCAUUAGAUUAUGCAUUCAUUGCUCUAAUCCGUUUUUGGAUAGCACUUUUCUUCUAACCUUGCACGUGAGGUGCACAUUAAAACUUAGUUAAACUUUCUCUCUCUCCUAUCAAUUUAAACCAUAUUAACUAAAUAAUUUGAAACUUAGUCUAUUUUCUAAACUUCUUUUUAUUUGAUAAAAAACCGACAAAAGAUUCAGAAAUUGCUAUUAGAACAUUUUGAUUUUGCCCUUGUUUUAAUUUUGAUAUUCUUCAGGUCUUAAAAGGAAGGAGCUAACUGAACAAAAUCCAAAACCAUUGAAUCAAUGCACAAUAUUGAGGCAAAACAUGGGUUAGUUUGCUAGAGUAGAAUAUGUUCUAUUAAACUCUUUUUUUGUGUGUCUGUGCGUGUGUUAAACGGUAUAUGAUAUGCUUUAAAUUCAUUUAUGUAGCAGAGAAACCAUUACCCUAAGUACCAUAUGACUUGGCCGAGAAGGAUAAGCAAACCAGACAUCAUCCAAUUCUACAUCUCCAUCUGGAUUUCUGCCAUUCACAGCAUAACAUGUUUAUUUAACAUGAUGGUCCAUUGGGUUAACUUGCGUGACAUAAAUAAAGUUUAAGCCUCUUUUUAGCAUUUCUCAUACAAUGUUGUGUUACAGCCUGCCAUAGGUGUAAACUAGUGGAAUUUAAAUUUAAUGAAAUUGUAAUUUGACUAACCCCACUGGACACUUAUCUCCUGAUUUUGGCAUGCCUGAGACACGAUCUAAUAGCUGGAAAACACUCCUACUUGACCCUGCAGCUUUCAUGGCAGAUACAUAUGAUCCUGAUAAUGAGGACACUGAGUAUCCAACUGCAGGUAAAUAGAAGAUUGUUUAUCACAAACAUGCCAUGCAAAUAACUGUUAAUAUGUUCCGACCAAAGUUGCAGAUCGAACAUAAGAGUUGUCUGGAACUUGUAUAGUACCUGUGAGACUAUAAAGGAUGAAAGAUGUAAGAGAACCAGCAGUCAUGAAUCCCGUUAUUGUCAAGUAGGCUCCAUAGCUCACCACUAUAAAAAUUGACAGUUUGGAUGCAGCGUUCUGUCCUCCAAAGUACAGACCAACUACUUUCUGUUGUAGAAAACAAGAGUUAAGACUCAAGCUAAACAUCUAUGCAGAGAUUUAAGUUGCAGUCAAACUGCGUUCGUGAUUUAACGAAUACAAUUGCAACUAACUAAAUUGACUAUCAUUGAUGUAAAGAGAUAAACCACAAAAACAACAAUUGCAAUAUCGUGUUCCGGCCAUCUGUGUGUGAUUGAGAGAUAGAAAGGACACUCACAGCUCGUUUGAGUCCAAUCUUCAGUCUCUCAUCAACCUUCUUGGAGUACUUGGAGACGGCAUAGCCUUCUUGAGCAAAAGACCUAAUUGUUCGAAUAGCUCCAAAAGAUUCCUAAACGUCAAGGGGUUUGUCAUGAAGGACAGAAUUUUCAAUGCUUUUCAGUUUUGAAGCACGUUACAGUUCUUACAAACCUCAGCAACCGAGGCAGCCACUGCAGCUGCAGCUUGUGUUGUGUGUGAAAGUUGUUUGAGAUAUCGUCCGAAUCUACGCAUGGCGACUGCGGUAACUGGAACUACCACCAAGGAUAGCACUGAACACAAAUAAUAGCAAUUGUGACUGCUAUAACUCUCAACAUUAAUGAAAACUUGUUAAGCAAGCAAAACCAGAGAACAUACAUGUUAGCUUCCAUGAUGAUGAAAACAUGAAGCCAAUGCCGAUAAUGGCACUUGUUAGAUUCCGAAGUGCCUCUGAAAGAUUGGUUGUUGCUGCAGUUUUAAUGAUCUGUGUGUCCUCAGAUAGCCUGUUGAGGAGUUCGCCUGUUGAAGUAACAUCGAAAAAGGCUAUUUCCUGUUGCACAAUUUAAGGAUAAAAACUGCUGAAACAUUGAGUGCUGAGCAAAGGGUAUUAAGAAAGAACAGCCGAAUAACUUGCAGACCAUGGACACCGGCCCUCAACUUGCGAGAAAUUAUCCGCUUUGACUAAAAAACCUCACCAUUUUGUCCUUUACAAGUAUGAGCAUAAGUCUCUACAUAUAUCUGACAAGAUAGGUCUUACCUGAUGGAUAAGGUGAGUGAACAAGUUAAGCCUUAGCCUAGCUACAAUCCUUUCACCAGUAGAAGAAAACAACCAUGCUUGAACUGCUCUGCAUAUAGACCUAAAUAGGAUGGGUAAAAGAAGAACCUUAAGAGUCGAUUUAUUCAUUUUAACAAGUUAAAAAUCAACUAAUAUAGGCUCAACCAACUACUACAGAGUCAAGACUAAAUCCAUUCUAUUAAGCUAUCAAUUAGUAUUCUCCUGUUGGUACUAAUCUUCAAUUAGAUUUUAUAUCAUGUUGUUUGAAAUUUUUGUUUUUCUAUAUUUGUUCCCUAUACACAUUUGGAUAUAGCAUGGGAUAUGAUCUUUCAAGGACCCUUAAAUAUAAAAUCCUUCAAAAGAUCAAAUAUUUUCGUUUUGGAUUCAUACUCAUAUCCAACACUUGCAUUAAAGUUCGAGUAACAUAGGCUAAUAUUGUACUGUUCUGUUCUAUAAAAUGCUGUAACUUGUAUAGAAUAGGCUUUUGAAGCCCAAACCCGUUCUUUAUCUUCACUUAAAAAAAGCAAUUUUGAUGAAGUAGAGCAUGCAUUUAACAUCCAUCUCAAAAGUUAAAAAUUUUACUUGUAAAAUAUGGAUCCCAUGUUGAAGCAUGACAGAUACCCAGAUUUGGUUCUUACCAGUUCUCUGAUCUUUCUAAAGAUAUCAUUACUAUUGAAAGGAACCCAGAAUGGUUUUUACUCGCAAAGAACAGUCUUUAGCAUAGACCAAGAAAGGAGCACUGCCUUGUGAAGCAUUUCAACAAACAAGUGUGUGUCAAAAGGAAAAUGUGAAAUGGAAAGUUACCCUAUUACAAUUAUCAGAAGAAUAUAUGUUACGAUGUUUUUGAUGGCAUCCAAAGCUUGUGAUUGCUGUAGUGGGGUCUUUAUUUCUCUUGACACGAUGUCUAUAAUCAUUCCACCAUAUUUAGGCUGCAAUAUAAUUACAUGAGCUUCUGACUUGUUAUCCAGUUUCUCAUCUUGUAAUUCAUUAACAUAGGGAAAGAAAGGAACAACAUACAAUCAAGAAACCCGAUGCAGAUGCUAUAAAAAGCGCGUUGGUGCCGAUUAUAAGCUUCCCAGCAUCUGGUUUUGCCUACAAAUUGCAGCCAACUCAAUAGGUACUAUGCAAAGAGAUUAAUGAAAAACCAUAUUCCUGACUAACCAGUGAAAAUACUUUGGACAAUCCAACAUUGGCUGCCUGAAAAUGUUCCACAUAAAAGAUUAAGUAAAUAAAGUCUGCUUCACAACUGGGAAAUAAAAAUAUGGAACAAAUAUCCAUCACCUCAACACCACUGUCUUGCUCAGGAUUUGAUAUGGGGCAGUUUGAUGAUUGAUUAUCAUUUGCCUGCAUAAAUGGAACUGUAUUUAUCCCAUGAUUAAACUGAGGGGAAGUUUUAAGAAUAGCUAUAUGUUUGUACUCUUGGUCGUAUGGUUUCCAAAGAAAUCGAAUCAAUGAUGCUGAAAAUUUUGGGUUUUUUUAUCAUCUGAAAUUUUUUGUUUCGAAAGUGAAUAGCACUAUACAAAAUCACCUUCUAAUCUUUAACUAGUAUACGAUAUGCUCAUGCAUUGAAACAUAUAUAUAUUUAAAAUGUAGUAAAAACAAGGAACAAAGUUAAGCAGAAUGUUGAAAAAUAAAAUCCUAGAAAAACAUGGUACAAAACCAAACAAAUUUCCUUGUACAAAAGGGGGACUCUUUCACUGCCUGGAGGAGAAUGCAACUUCUGUUUCUUCCCCAUUUGAAAAUAAAAAUUCAAAAUUGAUAAACAAAUGCAACAAUGGAAAUUGUUUCUGCAAAUUAGUUGCCAGUAUGUCAUGGGAUUAUAAACAAAGUAGGGGAAACUGUUAUUUUUGAAAGAAAAUAAAUUUGUUAUUUUUUAUUUGGUACGUUGUUGGCUUUAUGGCAUGUUUCAUGAGGCCUUUUAUACAUCCUCAAUAAAUUAGGAAAAAAACUGCAAUCAUUUCAUUUUUAUUACUAGACUAUUCUAGUCAGAAGUAAAAAUGUUUAUUUCUUUGAACAACCUUUGUCUCUGUUCCUUUUAAGAUUAUGUCUGUAAUUAUUCAUAAUCCCUCUCUAACUCUUAAAUAAGAGUUCAGUGUGUUCAAAUCUACGUCUUUCUGCACUAACAACAAUACCCACAUCAAUCGAGUUAAGACUCAACCGGCAAAGAAAAUUUAUUUAUUUAUUAUUAUUUGAAAUGGUAAGGAUUUAAAAGAAUGAUAUUUAAUAACUUGUCGUGUUUAAUGCUUGUUUUAGAGGAAAGGUAAGGUGAUGAGCAUGAAUCAUCUUUGUCUUGGAUUGCUGACCUUUUGCUAGUAAUGUGUAUAUUCAUAAUUCCACUGCUAGAAUUUUAUAUAUAAUAAAUUGAUAAAUUUAUGAAUAUCAGUUGAAUUAAUCAAUUUUAUAUGGAAAAAUCUAAAUAAUCGAAUUCAAUAUUAUCGGCUUGAUCUUUACUUUUUAAAUUUAUUUUAUUUAUAAAAAUAAAAUAUUAAAUUGCAAAUAAAAAAUUAUUCUAAGAACUUUUUGAACGACCUCGUGAUCCUAUUCAGUGGUCUGCAUUCCACUUUGUUCAUAUUUUCUAUGAUCCGUGAGUUGAGGAUCCUCAUAAAUUAGCACUCAAGAUAUUCCUCAUCGGCCCAACCAAUAGGCAAGCAUACAUUAGGGGCUCUUCCUAACAAGCGCAGAACACUCGUCAUUCAUACAUCAAUAAAUCAACUGAUGUCCAAAGAAUACCGACCAAGGGCACUCUCAGUGGUGAAUUAUGGGAUAAAGUUUUGAGGGGUCUAGAAAAUUUUAAAAAUUUUGAGAAGUUUGGUGAGAAUUUUUUUAUAAAAAAAAAUUAGGGUCUAAUUAAAUUUUUGAACUUUUUUUGAGAUUAAUGAGAACUUUCAAAUAUUUUAAGUGAGUUUAAUUAAAAUUUUCAAAACAAAUUAAAGGUAUUAUGAGAAAAUUAUUUAGUGUUUGUCGAAGCCAUUUUUUGUAAAACGGGGAUCGACUUUAAUUUUGAAAACGAAAACGAACACGGGAGUCGCCACAAAACUUUUUUUGAUGAGGUGUGAUUGAGUCAUCUCAAAAUGUGGUUGUUUUUAAUAAACAAUUUAAUUUUAUUAAAACAACGAUUUUGGUCCACGAAAUUUAGAAAGGCGGGUUCAGGAGUCGGUUACGUACGAGGAAGGAUUAGCACCCUCGUAACGCCCAAAAUUGGUACCUAGUUGGUUAAUUAGUGUCUUAAUGUCGAAGAUUGGAAACUUUGAAGAGUUUUAAAAAUAUGAUCCUUAAAAAAAUACUCGAAUAACAUGAGUUGGAAUUUAGGAUUCUCUUGUUCUGAAUGAAUAUCACAUCCAGCACGUUAGGAUAUAAUACUUUAAACGCUCAAACCAAGAUUACCUUAUGGUUUUCAAAACCCAUACUUUGAAAUUUUAAGAGGAUAUUUGGCUAUUUGGUCGAAUGACUUUUCCUUUUUGAAUAAUGGGUGAAAGUCGAUGAAAUAUCUAUCAAUAUGCGCGUAGUUCAUAAAAGAAAUCGUUUAAAAAACUUUGAAAAGAUCAUAUAUGGCUAAUAACAAUAUUGCAAUAUACAUUUGAAAUAUCAAUGAAAUAAUAUGCAUAAUAAAAUAUAAAUGUAGCAUUGCUGCUAACAAAUCCCAAUAUUAACAUGCAUUAAUAAGAAUAAUGGUGUCAAUGACAAUAUUACAAUAACAAUAAUAACAACAACAAUAACCAUAAUAAUAAAUCUAAAAUUUUAAAGUAUUAAAAAAAUAGCAAAUAAAUAAAUAAUGAAAUAAAUAGCAACAAUAAUGGCCAAAAUAAAAUGAACAAGCCAAUAAAUAAAUAAAUACUAAUGUAAGUUUGAUUAAUAAUUGAAAAUAAGUAAAUAAAUAAAUAGUAAGUGAAAUAUUAGACAAAACUAUUUUUUAAAUAACAAAAAAAAUAAGAUUAAACAGACUAAGGACUGAAUUGAAAAUGAACCUCAAAAUUUGGGGCUUAAAUCGUAAAUAAAUAAAAAUAGGGUUGCCAGGGGACUGAAAUAAGACUCGCUUAAGGCAUAAGGGACUGACUGUGAAAUAUCCCCAUUACUUAUACGCAUCAUUUUGCGCAGGACUAAAUUGUGACAAACACAAAAGAAAUGGGGUCAAAUUAAAAAUUCUAAAAAGGACAAAAUGACCGAAUUGAAGCCAAGCAUCAAAGCGGAGGGACCCGCAGCGCAAAUAGCCCAUUUGGCCUUGAAAACACGCGGAUCCUCUGCUAAACGGGUCGGGUAUUCGGGUCAUACGUGAAAUGAAGUCGUUUUGGUCAUUGUUGCCAAAACCCAAAACGACGUCGUUUUAUUCCCAAUAUAAAUGUUAAAAAAUAAAAUAAAAAACAAUUUAACCCUUAUUUUUUUUUUAAAAAAGAGAGAGAUCAAACAUUCUCUCACGCAGCCCUCAAAUCCGGCCAAUAGGGCCAUCGCUUGCGCCGCCGUGACCCCGCCGUAAGCGGUGGUCGGAGCAACAUGGAGGUCGCGUCUUUGGCCCACUUUUCAAACGCCCGAAGGCUUAGCCUUUUGGGCCUUAAGACCGAGGGAAGGAGAGGUCCCCAUGCCCCCCUUUUAGUCCGAUUUCGGCAACCGAAAUGGCUCCAGCGACAGACUCCACAGAUAACCCCAAGUAUUCCUCUUCCUUUUUUACUUAUUAAGAGUUUUUUUCUUUUUUUUUUUUAGAAAAAAACUGAUUCGUAAAAAAUAAAUAAAAGAAAUAAAUGAAUAAAUCAGAGAAACCAGAAGGCAACCUUUGUUUUCCUUUUUAUUCUAAUCUGUAAAAAAAUGCCAGAAGAAGAAAUACAAUCGCCCUAUUCGGCCUUUUAUAGCUAAUUUAAAAAAAACUAAAUCUCUCUUCUUUUAUCGUUUUGUGCUUUGGAUUGUUUUUGUUUGUUGUUUUCUUUUUUUGUCUCUGUUGUUGCGUGCGACGUCUUCUUGUAGGUGCUGACAGUGAAGCGUGGAGGUGACGUGCGGCAGAUGUGUGAGGUUGGCGAUUGGACGCGAUGAUGGUGGCGGUGGCAUGCGCGAGGGAGGCUGGCAGAACAUGCAGCGCCGGGGCAUUGGGCAGAGGCGUGCGGCGCGCCUUAGGGUUUGCUUCUCUGCUGAAUGUUUGUUGUGGGCUGCUGUUAAUUUGGGCUUAGGGUUAUUAAUUGGGCUUGGGUUGUUGUUUGGGCUGGUGUAACAAUUAGGUUAGUCUGUUCAAUUUGGUUUGUAACUGGGUUUGGGCUUGAUUUGGGCCCCGGGCAAAAAUGGGCUUAUACAGUGUUAAUUUUUAUUUUAAAUAUUAUUGGGCAUAAAUGAAAAAUAUAAACUUUCAAGAAUGUUUUAAAUAUGUGAAAAGUUAUGUAGUUAUUAGGGGUGUUUAAUCGGUUAACCGACUCGAAUUACUAUUAACCAAAUUAACUGAUUCUUUUAAACUCUUAACCAUUAACCAAAC